This 77772-nucleotide long non-coding RNA is filed under the name Triticum aestivum (bread wheat). RNAcentral describes it as "long non-coding RNA (TAES_LNC018214)". The stretch from base 65800 to 65934 matches the Rfam family "MIR1120/MIR1122 microRNA precursor family". Lineage: Eukaryota; Viridiplantae; Streptophyta; Magnoliopsida; Poales; Poaceae. The record is from RNAcentral.
UUUUUUUUGGUGGAACUCCAAUUUCAAUCGAUUCCAAUUCCAAGAUCUAAUAUCAUCGCAUAGCCUAUACCAUGACAAUUAUUUCCCCUUCAAAUAUAAAGGGAAAAACUUUUUCAUAACUUCAUCUCCGGGUAAACCUGCAAGCUUAAAUUUGUUCUACAUAUAUCAAGUGCAUAUCAGGAUGUUCGGUUCCAUCUCCUGCAUAAGGAUUAUCUAGCAGUUGUUCUAUCAUACCUGAAGGAAUUUCAUAUUCAAUAUUUUCAGUUGGUGCAGUAGGUUGAGGGGUAGCUAAUUGUGGUUCCGGACGAGGUGAAGAUACCCCGAACAAACCCCUCAAAGGAUUGUUUUCCAUAGUAACAAGUGACAUUAAAUUUCACCACACUAUAUAAAUGUUUCCUUACCCAAUUCCACUUACCAAAGGCGCUUCACUCCCUGGCAACGGUGCCAGAAAAUAGCAUUGAUGACCCACAAGUAUCGGGGAUCAAUGUAGCUCUUUUCAAUAAGUAAGAGUGUCGAACCCAACGAGGAGCAGAAGGAAAUGACAAGUAGUUUUCAGUAAGGUAAUGUCUGCAAGUGCUGAAAUUGUAAGUAAUAGAGUAGUUUGAUAGCAAGGUUAUUUGUAACGAGCAAGUAACGAUAGUAGUAACAAAAGUGCAGCAAGGUAGCCCAAUCCUUUUGAGGCAAAUGCAGGACAAAACGGUCUCUUAUAAUAAGCAAAGCGUUCUUGAGGGUACACGGGAAUUUCAUCUAGUCACUUUCAUCAUGUUGGUUCGAUUUGUGUUUGCUACUUUGAUAAUUUGAUAUGUGGGUGGACUGGUGCUUUGGUGCUGUUCUUACUUGAACAAACCUCCUACUUAUGAUUAACCCUCCCGCAAGCAUCCGCAACUACGAGAAAAGUAUUAAGAAUAAAUUCUAACCAUAGCAUUAAACUUUUGGAUCCAAUCGGUCCCUUACGGAAUAGCGCAUAAACUGGGGUUUAAGCUUCUGUCACUCUCGCAACCCAUCAUCUAAUUGCUACUCCAAAAUGCAUUCCCUUAGGCCCAAAUAUGGUGAAGUGUCAUGUAGUUGACGUUCACAUGACACCACUAAGGGAAUCACAACAUGCAUACUAUCAAAACAUCGAACACAUGUCAAGUUCACAUGAUUACUUGCAACAUGAUUUCUCCCGUGACCUCAAGAGCAAAAGUAACUACUCACAAAUGAUAAUCAUGCUCAUGAUCAGAGGAGUAUUAAAUAGCAUAUUGGAUCUGAAUAUAUAAUCUUCCACCAAAUAAACCAUAUAGUAAUCAACUACAAGAUGUAAUCAACACUACUAGUCACCCACAAGCACCAAUCUAUAGUUCCCGUAACAAGAUUGAACACAAGAGAUGAACUAUGGUAUGAGAUGAGAUGGUGCUGUUGAAGAUGUUGAUGGAGAUUGCCCUCCCCAAGAUGGGAUAGUUGUUGGUGAUGAUGAUGACGAUGUUUUCCCCCUCCAGGAGGGAAGUUCCCCCAACGGAAUCGCUUCGUCGGAGGGCAAAAGUGAAGGAAAUAUGCCCUCGAGGCAAUAAUAAAGUUGUUAUUUAUACUUCCUGAUAUCAUGAUAAAUGUUUAUUAUUCAUGCUAGAAUUGUAUUAACCGGAAACUUAGUACAUGUGUGAAUACAUAGACAAACAGAGUGUCACUAGUAUGCCUCUACUUGACUAGCUCAUUAAUCAAAGAUGGUUAAGUUUCCUAGCCAUAGACAUGAGUUGUCAUUUGAUUAACGGUAUCACAUCAUUAGACAAUGAUGUGAUUGACAUGACCCAUCCGUUAGCUUAGCACGAUGAUUGUUUAGUUUGUUGCUAUUGCUUUCUUCAUGACUUAUACAUGUUCCUAUGACUAUGAGAUUAUGCAACUCCCCAAUAUCGGAGGAACACUUAGUGUGCUAUCAAACGUCACAGCGUAACUGGGUGAUUAUAAAGAUGCUCUACAGGUGUCUCCAAUGGUGUUUGUUGAGUUGGCAUAUAUCGAGAUUAGGAUUUGUCACUCCGAUUGUCGGAGAGGUAUCUCUGGGCCCUCUCGGUAAUGCACAUCACUAUAAGCCUUGCAAGCAAUGUGACUAAUGUGUUAGUUGCAGGAUGAUGCAUUACGGAACGAGUAAAGAGACUUGCCGGUAACGAGAUUGAACUAGGUAAUGAGAUACCGACGAUCGAAUCUCGGGCAAGUAACAUACCGAUUACAAAGGGAACAACCUAUGUUGUUAUGCGGUUUGACCGAUCAAGAUCUUCGUAGAAUAUGUGGGAGCCAAUCUGAUCAUCCAGGUUCCGCUAUUGGUUAUUGACCGGAGAUGAGUCUCGGUCAUGUCUACAUAGUUCUCGAACCCGUAGGGUCCGCACGCUUAACGUUCGAUGACGACCGGUAUUAUGAGUUUAUGUGUUUUGAUGUACCGAAGGUUGUUCGGAGUCCCAGAUGUGAUCACGGACAUGACGAGGAGUCUGGAAAUGGUCGAGACAUGAAGAUUGAUAUAUUGGAAGGUUAUGUUUGGACACCGGAAAGGUUUCGGAUGAGUUCGGGCAUUUUUCGGAGUACCGGGGGGUUACCGGAACCCCCCGGGGGCUUAAUGGGCCUACAUGGGCUUUAGUGGAAGAGAGAGGAGGCGGCCAAGAGGUGGGGCGCGCCCCCAAGCCCAAUCCUAAUUGGGGACGGGGGCUGGCCCCCCUUUCCUUCUUCCCCUCUUCUCCUUCCUUCCCCCUCCUAGUUGGACUAGGAAAGGGGGGAAAUCUACUCCUAGUAGGAGUAGGAAUCCCCCCUUGGGGGCGCACCAUGAGGCCGGCCGGCCCCCUCCUCCCCUCCUUUAUAUACGGAGGAGGGGGGCACCCCAUAGACACACAAGUUGAUUAUCAGCCGUGUGCGGUGCCCCCCUCCACAUAUUUCCACCUCGGUCAUAUCGUUGUAGUGCUUAGGCGAAACCCUGCGUCGAUAACUUCAUCAUCACCGUCAUCACGCCGUCGUGCUGAUGAAACUCUCCCUCGGCCUCAACUGGAUCAAGAGUUCGAGGGACGUCACCGAGCUGAACGUGUGCAGAUCGCGGAGGUGUCGUGCGUUCGGUACUUGAUCGGGUGGAUCGCGAAGACGCUCGACUACAUCAACCACGUUACUUAACGCUUCCGCUUUCGGUCUAUGAGGGUACGUGGACACACUCUCCCGCUCGUUGCUAUGCAUCACAUAGAUAGAUCUUGCAUGAUUGUAGGUAAAUUUUUUGAAAUACUAUGUUUCCCAACAGUGGCAUCAGAGCCAGGUCUAUGCGUAUAUGUUAUAUGCACGAGUAGAACACAAAGAGUGCUGGGCGUUAAUAGUCAUACUGCUUACCAGCAUGUCAUACUUUGAUUCGGCGGUAUUGUUGGAUGAAGCGUCCAAGACCGACAUUACAUGACCACAUUCAUGAGACUGGUUCUACCGCCGUGCUUCGCACACAUGUGGCUAGUGGGUGUCUGUUUCUCCAACUUUAGUUGAAUCGAGUGUGACUACGCCCGGUCCUUGUUGAAGGUUAAAACAACACACUUGACGAAAAAUCGUUGUGGUUUUUGAUGCGUAGGUAAGAACGGUUCUUGCUAAGCCCGUAGCAGCCACGUAAAAUUUGCAACAACAAGUAGAGGACGUCUAACUUGUUUUUGCAAGGUAUGUUGUGAUGUGAUAUGGUUAAGACAUGAUGAUAUAUAAAUUGUUGUAUGAGAUGAACAUGUUUUGUAACAGUUAUCGGCAACUGGCAGGAGCCUUAUGGUUGUCGCUUGAUUGUAUGAAAUGCAAUCGCCAUGUAAUUGCUUUACUUUAUCACUAAGCGGUAACGAUAGUCGUAGAAGCAAUAGUUGGCGAGACACCAACGAUGCUUCGAUGGAGAUCAAGGUGUCAAGCCGGUGACGAUGAUGAUCAUCACGGUGCUUUGGAGAUAGAGAUCAAAGGCACAAAAUGAUGAUGGCCAUAUCAUACCACUUAUAUUGAUUGCAUGUGAUGUUUAUCCUUUAUGCAUCUUAUUUUGCUUAGUACGGCGGUAGCAUUAUAAGAUGAUCUCUCACUAAAUUUCAAGGUACAAGUGUUCACCCUGAGUAUGCACCUUGCUACAGUUCGUCGUGCCGAGACACCACGUGAUGAUCAGGUGUGAUAAGCUCUACGUUCACAUACAACGGGUGCAAACCAGUUUUGCACACGCAGAAUACUCGGGUUAAACUUGACGAGCCUAGCAUAUGCAGAUAUGGCCUUGGAACACUGAGACCAAAAGGUCGAGCGUGAAUCAUAUAGUAAAUAUGAUCAACAUAGUGAUUUUCACCAUUGAAAACUACUCCAUCUCACGUGAUGAUCGGACAUUGUUUAGUUGAUUUGGAUCACGUGAUCACUUAGAUGAUUAGAGGGAUGUAUAUCUAAUUGGGAGUUCUUAAGUAAUAUGAUUAAUUGAAUAUUAAUUUAUCAUGAACUUAGUACCUCAUAAUAUUUUGCAUGUCUAGGUUGUUGUAGAUCAAUGGCCCGUGCUACUGUUCCUUUGAAUUUUAAUGCGUUCCUAGAGAAAGCUAAGUUGAAAGAUGAUGGCAGCAACUACAUGGACUGGGUCCGUAACUUGAGGAUUAUCCUCAUUGCUGCACAGAAAAUUAGGUCCUGGAAGCACCGCUAGGUGCAAGACCCGCUGCAGGAGCACGCCGGACGUUGUGAACGCCUGGCAGAGCAAAGCUGGUGACUACUCGAUAGUUCAGUGUGCCAUGCUUUACGGCUUAGAACCAGGACUUCAACGACUUUUUGAACAUCAUGGAGCAUAUGAGAUGUUCGAGGAGUUGAAGUUAAUAUUUGAAGCAAAUGCCCGGAUUGAGAGAUAUGAAGUCUCCAAUAAGUUCUACAACUGUAAAAUGGAGGAGAAUAGUUCUGUUAGUGAACAUAUACUCAAAAUGUCUGGGUAUCAUAAUCACUUGACUCAGCUGGGAGUUAAUCUUCCGGUUCAUAGUGUCAUUUACAGAGUUCUUCAAUCACUGCCACCAAGCUACAAAAGCUUCGUGAUGAACUAUAAUAUGCAAGGGAUGGAUAAGACAAUUCCCGAGCUCUUCGCAAUGCUAAAGGCUGCGGAGGUAGAAAUCAAGAAGGAGCAUCAAGUGUUGAUGGUCAACAAGACCACCAGUUUCAAGAAAAAAGGGUAAAGGGAAGAAGGGUAACUUCAAGAAGAACGGAAAGCAAGUUGCUGCUCAAGUGAAGAAGCCCAAGUCUGGACCUAAGCCUGAGACUGAGUGCUUCUACUGCAAAGGGACUGGUCACUGGAAGCGGAACUGCCCCAAGUAUUUGGCGGAUAAGAAGGAUGGCGAAGUGAACAAAGGUAUAUGUGAUAUACAUGUUAUUAAUGUGUACCUUACUAAUGCUCGCAGUAGUGCCUGGGUAUUUGAUACUAGUUCUGUUGCUAAUAUUUGCAACUCGAAACAGGGACUACGGAUUAAGCAAAGAUUGGCUAAGGACGAGGUGACGAUGCGCGUGGGAAAUGGUUCCAAAGUCGAUGUGAUCGCCGUCGGCAUGCUACCUCUACAUCUACCUUCGGGAUUAGUUUUAGACCUGAAUAAUUGUUAUUUGGUGCCAGCGUUAAGCAUGAACAUUAUAUCUGGAUCUUGUUUGAUGCGAGACGGUUAUUCAUUUAAAUCUAAGAAUAAUGGUUGUUCUAUUUAUAUGAGUAAUAUCUUUUAUGGUCAUGCACCCUUGAAGAGUGGUCUAUUUAAGUUAAAUCUCGAUAGUAGUGAUACACAUAUUCAUAAUAUUGAAGCCAAAAGAGGCAGAGUUGAUAAUGAUAGUGCAACUUAUUUGUGGAACGGCCGUUUGGGUCAUAUUGGUGAAAAGCGCAUGAAGAAACUCCAUACUGAUGGACUUCUGGAAUCACUUGAUUAUGAAUCACUUGGUACUUGCGAACCAUGUGCCUCAUGGGCAAGAUGACUAAAACUCCGUUCUCUGGAACAAUGGAACGAGCAACAAAUUUAUUGGAAAUAAUACACACUGAUGUAUGCGAUUCGAUGAAUAUUGAGGCUCGCGGCGGGUAUCGUUAUUUUCUGACCUUCACAGAUGAUUUGAGCAGAUAUGGGUAUAUCUACUUGAUGAAACAUAAGUCUGAAACAUUUGAAAAGUUCAAAGAAUUUCAGAGUGAAGUGGAAAACCAUCGUAAAAAGAAAAUAAAGUUUCUGCGGUCUGAUCAUGGAGGAGAAUAUUUGAGUUACAACUUUGGUCUUCAUUUGAAACAAUGCGGAAUAGUUUCGCAACUCACCUUAUGAACUGUGGUUUGGGAAGAAACCCAAGUUGUCGUUUCUUAAAGUUUGGGGCUGCGAUGCUUAUGUGAAAAAGCUUCAACCUGAUAAGCUCGAACCCAAAUCGGAGAAAUGUGUCUUCAUAGGAUUCCCAAAGGAGACUGUUGGGUACACCGUCUAUCACAGAUCUGAAGGCAAGAUAUUCGUUGCUAAGAAUGGAUCCUUUCUAGAGAAGGAGUUUCUCUGAAAAGAAGUGAGUGGGAGGAAAGUAGAACUUGAUGAGGUAACUGUACAUGCUCCCUUAUUGGAAAGUAGUUCAUCACAGAAAUCAGUUCAUGUGAUUCCUACACCAAUUAGUGAGGAAGCUAAUGAUGAUGAUCAUGUUACUUCAGAUCAAGUUACUACCGAACCUUGUAGGUCAACCAGAGUAAGAUUUGCACCAGAGUGGUACGGUAAUCCUAUUCUGAAGGUCAUGUUACUUGACCAUGACGAACCUACGAACUAUGAGGAAGCGAUGAUGAGCCCAGAUUUCGCGAAAUGGCUUGAGGCCAUGAAAUCUGAGAUGGGAUACAUGUAUGAGAACAAAGUGUGGACUUUGGUUGAUUUGCCCGAUGAUCGGCAAGCCAUAGAGAAUAAAUGGAUCUUCAAGAAGAAGACUGACGCCGAUGGUAAUGUUACUGUCUACAAAGCUCGACUUGUUGCGAAAGGUUUUUGACAAGUUCAAGGAGUUGACUAUGAUGAGACCUUCUCACCCGUAGCGAUGCUUAAGUCUGUCCGAAUCAUGUUAGCAAUUGCCGCAUUUUAUGAUUAUGAAAUUUGGCAAAUGGAUGUCAAAACUGCAUUCCUUAAUGGAUAUCUUAAAGAAGAGUUGUAUAUGAUGCAACCAGAAGGUUUUGUCGAUCCUAAAAGUGCUAACAAAGUGUGCAAGCUCCAGCGAUCCAUUUAUGGACUGGUGCAAGCCUCUCAGAGUUGGAAUAUACGCUUUGAUAGUGUGAUCAAAGCAUAUGGUUUUAUACAGACUUUUGGAGAAGCCUGUAUUUACAAGAAAGUGAGUGGGAGCUCUGUAGCAUUUCUAAUAUUAUAUGUGGAUGACAUAUUGUUGCUUGGAAAUAAUACAGAAUUUCUGGAUAGCAUAAAAGGAUACUUGAAUAAGAAUUUUUCAAUGAAAGACCUCGGUGAAGAUGCAUAUAUAUUGGGCAUCAAGAUCUAUAGAGAUAGAUCAAGACGCGUAAAUGGACUUUCACAAAGCACAUACCUUGAUAAAGUUUUGAAGAAGUUCAAAAUGCAUCAGUCAAAGAAAGGGUUCUUGCCUGUGUUACAAGGUGUGAAGUUGAGUCAGACUCAAUGCGCGACCACUGCUGAAGAUAGAGAGAAAAUGAAAGUCAUUCCCUAUGCUUCAGCCAUAGGUUCUAUCAUGUAUGCAAUGCUGUGUACCAGACCUGAUGUGUGCCUUGCUAUUAGUUUAGCAGGGAGGUACCAAAGUAAUCCAGGAGUGGAUCACUGGACAGCGGUCAAGAACAUCCUGAAAUACCUGAAAAGGACUAAGGGUAUGUUUCUCAUUUCUGGAGGUGACAAAGAGCUUGUCGUAAAUGGUUACAUUGAUGCAAGCUUUGACACUGAUCCGGAUGACUCUAAGUCACAAUCCGGAUACAUAUUUAUAUUGAAUGGUGGAGCUGUCAGUUGGUGCAGUUCCAAACAGAGCGUCGUGGCGGGAUCUACGUGUGAAGCGGAGUACAUAGCUGCUUCGGAAGCAGCAAAUGAAGGAGUCUGGAUGAAGGAGUUCAUAUCCAAUCUAGGUGUCAUACCUAGUGCAUCGUGUCCAAUGAAAAUCUUUUGUGACAAUACUGGAGCAAUUGCCUUGGCGAAGGAAUCCAGAUUUCACAAGAGAACCAAACACAUCAAGAGACGCUUCAACGCCAUACGCGAUCAAAUCAAGGAGGGAGACAUAGAGAUUUGCAAGAUACAUACAGAUCUGAAUGUUGCAGACCCGUUGACUAAGCCUCUCUCACUAGCAAAACAUGAUCAGGACAAAGACUCCAUGGGUGUUAGAAUCAUUACUGUGUAAUCUAGAUUAUUGACUCUAGUGCAAGUGGGAGACUGAAGGGAAUAUGCCCUAGAGGAAAUAAUAAAUUUGUUAUUUAUAUUUCCUUAUAUCAUGAUAAAUGUUUAUUAUUCAUGCUAGAAUUGUAUUAAUCGGAAACUUAGUACAUGUGUGAAUACAUAGACAAACAGAGUGUCACUAGUAUGCCUCUACUUGACUAGCUCGUUAAUUAAAGAUGGUUAAGUUUCCUAGCCAUAGACAUGAGUUGUCAUUUGAUUAACGGGAUCACAUCAUUAGAGAAUGAUGUGAUUGACAUGACCCAUCCGUUAGCUUAGCACGAUGAUCGUUUAGUUUGUUGCUAUUGCUUUCUUCAUCACUUAUACAUGUUCCUAUGACUAUGAGAUUAUGGAACUCCCGAAUACCGGAGGAACAAUUAGUGUGCUAUCAAACGUCACAAUUUAACUGGGUGAUUAUAAAGAUGCUCUACAGGUGUCUCCGAUGGUGUUUGUUGAGUUGGCAUAGAUCGAGAUUAGGAUUUGUCACUUCGAUUGUCGGAGAGGUAUCUCUGGGCCCUCUCGGUAAUGCACAACACUAUAAGCCUUGCAAGCAAUGUGACUAAUGAUUUAGUUGCGGGAUGAUACAUUAUGGAACGAGUAAAGAGACUUGCCAGUAACGAGAUUGAACUAGGUAUUGAGAUACCGACGAUCGAGUUUCGGGCAAGUAACCUACCGAUGACAAAGGGAACAACGUAUGUUGUAUGCGGCUUGACCGAUAAAGAUUUUCGUAGAAUAUGUGGGAGCCAAUAUGAGCAUCCAGGUUCCGCUAUUGGUUAUUGACCGGAGAUGAGUCUCGGUCAUGUCUACAUAGUUCUCGAACCCAUAGGGUCCGCACGCUUAAUGUUCGAUGAUGAUCGGUAUUAUGAGUUUAUGUGUUUUGAUGUACCGAAGGUUGUUCAGAGUCCCGGAUGUGAUCACGGACAUGACGAGGAGUCUCGAAAUGGUCGAGACAUGAAGAUUGAUAUAUUGGAAGGUUAUGUUUGGGCACCGGAAAGGUCCAGAUGAGUUCAGGCAUUUUCCGGAGUACCGGGGGGUUACCGGAACCCCCCAGGGGCUAGAUGGGCCUACAUGGGCUUUAGUGGAAGAGAGAGGAGGCGGCCAAGAGGUGGGGCAUGCCCCGCCAAGCCCAUUCCGAAUUAGGGAGGGGGGCCGGCCCCCCUUUCCUUCUUCCCCUCUUCUCCUUCCUUCCCCCUCCUAGUUGGACUAGGAAAGGGGGGAAGCCUACUCCUCGUAGGAGUAGGAAUCCCCCUUGGGGGCGCACCAUGAGGCCGGCCAGCCCCCUCCUCCCCUCCUUUAUAUACGGAGGAGGGGGCACCCCAUAGACACACAAGUUGAUUCUUAGCCGUGUGCGGUGCCCCCUCCACUUAUUUCCACCUCGGUCAUAUCGUUGUAGUGCUUAGGCGAAGCCCUGCGUCGGUAACUUCAUCAUCACUGUCAUCACGCGGUUGUGCUGACGAAACUCUCCCUCGGCCUCAACUGGAUCAAGAGUUCGAGGGACGUCACCGAGCUGAACGUGUGCAGAUCGCAGAGGUGUCGUGCGUUCGGUACUUGAUCGGUUGGACCACGAAGACGUUCGACUACAUCAACCGCGUUACUUAAUGCUUCCGCUUUCGGUCUACGAGGGUACAUGGACACAUUCUCCCGCUCAUUGCUAUGCAUCAUAUAGAUAGAUCUUGCGUGAUCGUAGGUAAAAAAUUUGAAAUACUGCGUUCCCCAACAAAAAGUGCUCCUGCCCAAGUUCCGCCUAGAGACGGCGGCGCUCCGUCCCGAAAGUCUUCUCCUUUUUUCUAGGUCAAAAUGACCUAUAUACCAUAAGAUUGGCAACAGAGGUGGGCCUGGUUGAGCACAACCCACCAGGAAGCGCCUAGGCUCCCUGGCGCACCCAGGUGGGUUGUGCCCACCUGGUGGUCCCCCUCUGGUAGUUACUUGCUCCAAUAAUCCAUAAAAAUCCUCGUGAAGUUUCAGCUUGUUUGGAGUUGUGCAGAAUAGGUACCCUGACGUAGAUUUUCCAGGUCCAGAUUUCCAACUGCCGGAAUUCUCCCUCUUUGUGUAUACCUUGCAUAUUAUGAGAGAAAAUGCAUUAUAAUUACUCCAAAAAGCAUUAUUAUGGAUAAAAAAUCAUAAAUAACACUAAGAAAACAUGAUGCAAAAUGGACGUAUCAGGGAGUUGAUACAUCCAUUUUGCAUCUUGUUUUCCUACUGUUAUUUAUGAUGUUUUUAUGCAUAACAAUGCUUUUUGGAGUAAUUCUAAUGCAUUUCUCUCAUAAUAUGCAAGGUACACACAAAGAGGGAGAAUUCCGACAGCUGGAAAUCUGGACCUGGAAAAGUUACGUCAGGCUACCUAUUCUGCACAACUCCAAACAAGCUGAAACUUUAUAGAGAAUUUUUAUGGAAUAUAUGAAGAAUAUUGGAGCAAAUAAGUACCAGAGUGGGCCGACCAGGUGGGCACAACCCACCUGGGCGCGCCAGGGAGCCCAGGCGUGCCCUGGUGGGUUGUGCUCACCCAGGCCCACCUCCGGUGCCCAUCUUCUGGUAUAUAAGUCAUUUUGACCUACAAAAAAUAAGGAGAGUACUUUCGGGACGGAGCGCCGCCAUCUCGAGGCGGAAUUUGGGCAGGAGCACUUUUGCCCUCUGGCGGAGCGAUUCCGCCGGGGGAACUUCCCUCCCAGAGGGGGGAAUCAUCAUCAUCAUCAUCACCAACAACUCUCCCGUCUCGGGGAGGGCAGUCUCCAUCAACAUCUUCAACUGCACCAUCUCCUCUCAAACCCUAGUUCAUCUCUUGUGUUCAAUCUUUGUACCGGAACUAUAGAUUGGUGCUUGUGGGUGACUAGUAGUGUUGAUUACAUCUUGUAGUUGAUUACUAUAUGGUUUAUUUGGUGGAAGAUUAUAUGUUCAGAUCCAAUAUGCUAUUUAAUCCCCCUCUGAUCUUGAGCAUGAUAAUCAUUUGUGAGUAGUUACUUUUGUUCUUGACGUCACGGGAGAAAUCAUGUUGCAAGUAAUCAUGUGAACUUGAUAUGUGUUCGAUAUUUUGAUAGUAUGUAUGUUGUGAUUCCCUUAGUGGUGUCAUGCGAACGUCGACUACAUGACACUUCACCAUGUUUGGGCCUAAGGGAAUGCAUUGUGGAGUAGUUGUUAGAUGAUGGGUUGCGAGAGUGACAGAAGCUUAAACCCUAGUUUAUGCGCUAUUUUGUAAGGGACCGAUUGGAUCCAAAAGUUUAAUGCUAUUGUUAGAAUUUAUUCUUAAUACUUUUCUCGUAGUUGCGGAUGCUUGUGAGGGGCUUAAUCAUAAGUAGGAGGUUUGUUCAAGUAAGAACAGCACCUAAGCACCAGUCCACCUACAUAUGAAAUUAUCAAAGUAGCGAACACAAAUCGAAUCAACAUGAUGAAAGUGACUAGAUGAAAUUCCCGUGUACCCUCAAGAACGCUUUGCUUACUGUAAGAGACCGUUUUUUCCUGUCCUUUGCCUCAAAAGGAUUGGGUUACCUUGCUGCACUUUUGCUACUAUUAUUAUUGCUUGCUCGUUACAAAUUAUCUUGCUAUCAAACUACUAUGUUACUUACAAUUUCAACACUUGCAGACAUUAUCUUGCUGAAAACCACUUGUCAUUUCCUUCUGCUCCUCGUUGGGUUCGACCCUCUUACUUAUCGGAAAGAGCUACAAUUGAUGCCCUAUACUUGUGGGUCAUCCCCGCUACAGCUAGUAGUCUGCAUGUUGCCACUGAAGCUACUGAUUAUUUUAUUGCUCUGCAAGAUAUGAUGAGUAAACUAAUGGUUUCUACACCUGAUGCUCUGAAGAAACUUGAAGGACAUACAGUGAUUGCUGCUAGAUGCUAGAUGAUGGAAGUUAAUGAUGAAUUUGGCAAUAUCUGAAAAUGUCUUUUCACAGUCACUGAAGAAACACCUGCUCCAUUUGUCAGCAACUGCACUAUCACUGAGCUUUCUGAUCAACCUGUUGUACCUAUUGUGGUGGAACCUGCCUAUGUUCAUACUGAUACUACCCCAAUUGGCAAACAUAAAAAAGCUCAAGCCCCACUUGACAUUCAAGAUGUUAGAAGAAGCAGAAGACUGGCUGGUCUGAGUGUUGGAUUUAAGAACAAAGAGGCAGCCACAUUAGCUCUAUGCAAGAAAAGUGGGCCAACUAUCAAGAGGAACCUAGCUACUGCUUUUGAUCAUGAAAUUAUAGAUGUUGAUGCCCCUCCACCCCCUGAUCUCCCAAUCAAGAUCAUUCAGACCAUUGCCACAACACACUGCCAAGUGCCUCCUAGUGAGGUUACUGAAGACAAGAUGAACUCCACUGGUUCUAAUGAAUAGAUCCUCCUCACUAGUGCCUCCUAGUGAGGUUACUGAAUGACAUGGUGUAAUAAGUUUAUGGCCAAUCAUAGCCUCUUUGUUUACUGCCAUUAUGGCAUUAGUUGCUUGAUUUUGUAUCAGGCCUUCAGAUUCCAGUUGCAAUUAUGUAGUACUUGUUAUAUUUGCCUCUGUCUCUGGGAAUUACUGCCCAACAUCAUGUCCUAUAUGUUCUGUUACUUGCAUUGGAUGAUGUUACAGUCAGCAAUUCAAUCAUAUCUGAUUCAAAUGGCAGUUUUUUAUGUACUCUCACACUGUUGAUUACAUCAACAAUAGUGUGUCAUAACCCCAGAAGUUUUUAUCAUGAAUAGACAUUGGAACAUAUUAAAUUGGAUCGUUAGAGGUAUCAACUCAUGGGUCAGAUGGGAUGAUAUUAGACAAAAAAUAGAGGAAAGUAAAUGCAUCAUUAUUUGUUUACAAGAAACAAAGGGUAGUUGCAGAAGCGUCACAAGAAGUAGAUGACUAGAUGAUCAUUUCUCCUAGUUUAGAUGCAAAUGUUUAUUGAGGUGUGUGUGAAUGAUCUAUAUAGUCACUUAUGUAAUUGGAUGUUUAUUUCAGUUAUAUAUAUAUAUAUGUUACUCUUCUGUAGACAGAGCAAAUCACAUGGAUCAUUAGCAGCAAUCGACUGUGUUAUUAUUGGUCUCUGCACACAUUCUGACAAUGGACCUGUUUGCCGCGUAUCACACACACCUUGUUCAAUCAAACUAUUUCUGUUGUCUUUGCUCAUCGCAAACUGUUCAUCCGAGUGAACUGUAUGCCCUCGAUCGCACACACCUUGAUCUGGCUGGCCGUUUCUAUUGUGUUGCCUAAUCACACACAAUUCAUUCUAGUGAACUAUAUGCCGUAUAUCGUACACACCCUCAUCUGGCUGCCCAUUUCUGUUGUUCUGCCUCAUCGCAAACAGUUCUGCUGGAUUAACCGUAUGCCACGCAUCGCACACGCGACUCUAAUCUGAACCUUGUUUGAUGUCAUCGCCGUUGCAAACGUUUUUUUAAUCUUUUUUGACGGUUUUAUUUCACCGUUUGUGACUAAUGCAUCGCACACAGUUUCGUCGAAGGGUCUCUGAUUGGACUGUCGUGUUUGGACCAACCUACAGUAGUGCUACCACUUGCUAGAGUCUCAUCUGAUCACAUUCCUAUUAACAUUCAAAUUGGUAUUGAUAUCCCCAAGACCACUAUCUUCAUAUUUGAAACUUAUUGGGUGGAUUUUGAAACUUGCUAGAGUCCCACUCUCUAACUCUGCCAAAUAUAUUACUGCUAGAUUCAAAUGCGUCAGGCAUGGAUUAAAACAAUGGAGCGGAAACUUGUCAAAACUGAAUAAGUGUAUUGUGGCCAACAAUUAUGUUAUUGCCUUAAUUGAUGGCAUUGAAGAACAAAGAGACCUAACUAUACAGGAAAAGAAUUUCAGAAUAAUCUUGAAGAAGCAUGUUCUGAAGCUCCUUCAUGCCAAAAGAAUUUACUGGAAGAGCAGAUACAAGAGAAGAAAAAUUAAAUUUGGAGAUGAAAAUUCAAAAAUUCUUCCAUGCCAUGGCUACCAUAAAUUACAAAAAAAAUCAUAUGCAGCAUCCAGGGGCCUGAUGGGACAAGCUAUUCAUCCCAUGACCAAAAAGAUGCGAUCAUAUGGUAGUCAUAUAAAGAGAGACUUGGAAUAACCUCAAAUCCCAUUAUGUUAUUUGACCUCUGUGACUUGGUUCAGUCACACAAUCUGGUACAUUUGGAUGAUCAAUUUGCAGUUGAUGAAAUUGAACAAGUGGUCAAAGAUUUCCUUGCUGACACAGCACCUGGACCUGAUGGAUUUAAUGGAUACUUUAUCAGAAAGUGCUGGCCCGUCAUCAAACAAGACUUCUACACUUUGAUCAGGGAUUUCUUUGAAGGAAACUAUGACACUUAGAGCAUUAAUACUGCCUAUAUUACCUUGAUACCGAAAAAACAGUCUCCUAGAACUAUGAAUGAUUACAUGCCCAUAUAUUUAGUUAGCCUGCCCCUCAAAUUCAUUACUAAGCUCAUGGCUAACAGAUUACAAAGAGAGAUCAUUCCAAUACUGCAUCAGAACCAAUAUGGUUUUAUCAAGGGCAAGAACAUUCAAGAUUGUCUUGGUUAUGCUUUUGAAUACUUGCAUCUAUGCCACAACUCAAGAAAGCCAAUCAUGAUCGUUAAACUGGAUUUUGAGAAAGCAUUUUAUAAAAUUGAGUACUCUGCUAUUUUGGAAAUGUUGAAAGCAAAAGGAUUUGGUCCAAGAUGGAUUAACUGGGUAUCCAAAAUUCUUCAGUGUGCAUCCACAUCUAUUUUACUUAAUGGUGUUGCUGGUAAAGUCAUACAAUACAAAUGUGGGCUUAGACAGGGUGAUCCUCUAUCCCCACUGUUAUAUGUUAUUGCUCCUGAUCUCUUGCAAUCCAUCAUUAAUGCUGCCUGGCUAAAGGGUGAAUUAUCCCUGCCAGUGGAAAACAGUUAUGGACAAUAGUACCCCAUCAUCGAAUAUGCUGAUGACACCCUCUUGAUCAUGCUUGCAGAAUUAAAUCAACUGAUGCAUCUUAAAACCCUCUUGCAAAUGUUCAGCAACUCCACAGGAAUCCAAGUCAACUACAACAAAUCAUCAAUAGUUUCAAUCAAUGUCAGCCCUGAACAUAUGAAUGUACUAGCUGCAAAUUUUGGAUGUAAAGUUCAAGCACUUCCAUUCACAAACCUUGGACUUCCACUAGGCACCACUAAACCAUCCGUCCAAGACCUCAUCCCUGUUAUUGCAAAGAUUGACAGAAAACUAUCUGGUGUUGCUAAUUUCAUGAACUAUCCAAGCAGGCUUACAUAUGUCAAUUCUGUCAUUGCAGCUAUGCCCAUUUUUGCCAUGUGCACUUUCAAAAUGCAUAUAACUGUUCUCGAUCAUGUUAACAAAUCAAGCAAAAAAAUUCUAUGGCAUGGGAAUGAUAGUGAGAGAAAAGGUAACUAUCUUGCAAGCUGGAACAUGAUAUGUAGGCCAAAGAGCCAGGGAGGACUUGGUAUUCUUAAUCUGAAAGUUCAAAAUAUUGCACUGUUAGUCAAGCAGUUACACAAAUUCUACAAUCAAGCAGAUGUGCCUUGGAUCAAUCUCAUCUGGCAGGCUUAGUACUCAAACAAUGAAGUGCCUCAUGCAACCAAAAUGAAAGGAUCCUUCUGGUGGAGGGAUAUACUAAGUCUGCAUGAUAUAUACAAGAACAUGACCACUUGCAUCAUAUCCAGAGGAAUACAACUCUAUUAUGGGAAGACUUAUGGAAUAAUAGCUAUGCUACAAACAAAUUCCCUGAACUGCAUUCUUUUGCUCUGGACAACAAGAUCUCAUCCAAAAGGCAAAAAAUAUGGAUUCAUACUAUUCCAUGUUUCAAUUACCUCUGUCCCUAAUUGCUCAUUAGCAACUGCAUCAACUGUCUUAUUCUUUGAUUAGCGUUACAGAUUCUGAUCAACAGGACAUUUGGAAACUCAAUUGGGGCAACAAUUUAUACAACACCAAGAAAGUAUAUAAUUUCUUGAUGGCAGAUGAUCAAGCACCAAAACCCCUCCAAUGGAUAUGGAAGAGUUGUUGUAUGCCCAAGAAAAGUUCUUUAUUUGGCUUAUGCUCAUGUGACUUGCUCAUAAGAAGACAAAUCCCAUGCUCAUUAUGUUGUAAUCAACCUGUUAAAGAUCGUAUGCACCUUUUCAUCUCAUGUCCUUUCAGCCAAGGGUUUUGGUGGAGCAUCAACAUGGAAUUCAAUACAGAUAAUAGCAUUCACAACAUGAUCAUUGAUGCAAGCACAGAUACAGAUUGGACUUCUUCAUGGAGAUCAUGACCAUUGGCUACUGGAAUAUAUGGAAUCAAAGAAAUGGCAAAAUAUUUGAUAACAUUCAUUGCUCUAUCAAUCAAUGCAAAAUGAUUUCACUUCCACUUUCUAUGACACUACUAUCAAAGCAAAACCUAGCAUCAAAGAGGGCAUGCUAUCAUGGCUAGAUUGUAUUUAAUUUUCUUACUUUGUAUUCUUUUCCUUUAUUUGUCCUGUUAAGACGCAUAUGUAAAGUUAUUUUUACAUAAUUAAUAGAAAAUGAUCUGCAGUAGGGGUUUCCCCUACUGUUCUUUGGUAAAAAAAAUAACAAUACAAUAUUAUUGCUUCUAGGGCAUAUUUCCAACAACAUCUUGUCCAUCUUGUUCCCAGCAAUGACUCAUGUCGGUUGCCAUACUGGUGGACACCCUUCCCAGCCUAUUGUGAGGUGUCGGUGUCUGUGUCAGUUGUAGCUCGCGAUUUUCUCAGUUGCAGCAUGCGGGUGAGCCUUCUGCUGACACUGUCAUUGGUUCCAACUCCGUGGGGUGUUAGUCGCUGCAUCACGGGGUGCUGGUUCCAGCACCACAACAUGUCGGUCACAGCAUCACGGUGUGUCGGUUACAUCAGAAAAAUUGCCUCGCCGGUCCCAACAAAUCAUCUCGCUGGUUGUAGCUUGCAGUCUUGCCGGUUCCGAUAGCCCAUUCCAGCUUGCGGAAACCAUGGUCGCAAAUUUCGAUUGUCGGUUGCAGCAAAUGGUGGCCAUCAUUCCAACAUCGGCGGGUACCAGUUAUAACACCACGGCCACCAGGGCGCAUCUUUUUCUCUAGCACCGUCAGCAGCCCCGUCGCAACUUUUCUGUGCUAGUUCCAUCUUUGCCACCGGGAGGUUACAGCUUGUCGCCCAAUGGUACGUCUCCAACGUAUCUAUAAUUUUUUAUUGUUCCAUGUUAUUAUAUUAUCAGUUUUGGAUGUUUUAUAUGCAUUAAUAUGCUAUUUUAUAUUAUUCUUGGGACUAACCUAUUAACCUAGAGCCUAGUGCCAGUUUUUGUUUUUUCUUUUUUUAGAGUUUCAAAGAAAAGGAAUACCAAACGGAAUAAAACUUUCGCUAUGAUUUUUCUUGGACCAGAGGACUUGGAGUGCAGGUCAGAGAAGCCACGAGGCAGCCACAAGGACGGAGGGUGCACCCGGGGGGGUAGGGCGCGCACCCCACCCUUGUGGGCCCCUCGUGACUCCAUCGACCGAGUUUCUUCGCCUAUAUAUUCUCAUAUAUCCCAAAACCAACAGAGAGAGCCACGAAAACACUUUUCCACCGCCGCAACCUUCUGUACCCGUGAGAUCCCAUCUAGGGGCCUUUUCCAGCAUCCUACCGGAGGGGGAUUCGAUCACGGAGGGCUUCUACAUCAACACCAUUGCCCUUCCGAUGAAGUGUGAGUAGUUUACCACAGACCUACGGAUCCAUAGCUAGUAGCUAGAUGGCUUCUUCUCUCUCUUUGAUUCUCAAUACCAUGUUCUCCUCGAUGUUCUUGGAGAUCUAUUCGAUGUAAUACCUUUUUGCGAUGUGUUUGCCGAGAUCCAAUGAAUUGUGGAUUUAUGAUCAGCUUAUCUAUGAAUAUUAUUUGAAUCUUCUCUGAAUUCUUAUAUGUAUGAUUUGAUAUCUUUUCAAGUCUCUUCGAACUAUCGAUUUGGUUUGGCCGACUAGAUUGGUUUUUCUUGCAAUGGGAGAAGUGCUUAGCUUUGGGUUCAAUCUUGUUGUGUCCUUUCCCAAUGACAGUAGGGGCAGCAAGGCACGUAUUGUAUUGUUGCCAUCGAGGAUAAAAAGAUGGGGUUUUCAUCAUAAUGCUUGAGUUAAUUCCUCUACAUCAUGUCAUCUUGCUUAAUGCCUUAGUCCGUUCUUUAUGAACUUAAUACUCUAGAUGCAUAUUGGAUAGCGAUCAAUGUGUGGAGUAAUAGUAGUAGAUGCACGCAAGAGUCGGUCUACUUGACACGGACGUGAUGCCUAUAUCCAUGAUCAUUGCCUUAGAUAUCAUCAUAACUUUGUGCUUUCCUAUCAAUUGCUCGGCAGUAAUUUGUUCACCCACCAUAAUAUUUUCUAUCUUGAGAGAAGCCUCUAGUGAAACCUAUGCCCCCGGGUCUAUUUUCUAUCAUAUAAGUUUCUAUUUUCCAUCAUAUAAGUUUCCGAUCUACAAUUUUAGUUUCCAAUUUACUUCCUUUGCAAUCCUUUACUUUCCGAUCUAUAAACCAAAAAUACCAAAAAUAUUUACUUUACCGUUUAUCUAUCUCUAUCAGAUCUCAUUUUUGCAAGUAACCGUGAAGGGAUUGACAACCCUUUAUCUCAUUGGGUGCAAUUUGUUUGAUUGUUUGUGCAGGUAUUCGGUGACUUGUUCGUUGUCUCCUACUGGAUUGAUACCUUGGUUCUCAAACUAAGGGAAAUACUUACUCUACUCUGCUACAUCACCCUUUCCUCUUCAAGGGAAAAGCCAACGCAAGCUCAAGAAGUAGCAGGAAGAAUUUCUGGCGCCGUUGCCGGGGAGAUCUAUGCCAAGUCAAGACUUACUAAGUACCCAUCAUAAACUCUCAUGUCUUGCAUUACAUUAUUCCCCAUUCGCCUCUCGAACGAUUUUUGAAAAGAUUUGCCUUUUCUUCGCCCCUCUUCCGUUUGUCUUCUUCGCUUGCUUUUUGUGUGCUCGUGUGUUGGAUUGCUUGCUUUGUCGCGAUGACUCAAGAGAAUACCAAAUUGUGUGAAUUUUCCAAUACCAACAACACUGAUUUUAUUAGUACUCCGAUUGCUCCCGCUACUAAUGUGGGAUCUUGUGAAAUUAAUGCUGCUUUGCUGAAUCUUGUUCUGAAAGAUCAAUUUUCCGGCCUUCCUAGUGAAGAUGUCGCAUCCCAUCUAAACAAUUUUGUUGAUUUGUGUGAUAUGCAAAAGAAAAAAGAUGUGGAUAAUGAUAUUCUUAAAUUGAAGCUAUUUCCGUUCUCGCUUCGAGAUCGUGCUAAAACUUGGUUUUCAUCUUUGCCUAAAAAUAGUAUUGAUUCAUGGAAUAAGUGUAAAGAUGCUUUUAUUUCCAAGUAUUUUCCUCCUGCUAAGAUCAUCUCCCUUAGGAACAAUAUUAUGAAUUUUAAGCAACUUGAUCAUGAACAUGUUGCACAAUCUUGGGAGAGGAUGAAAUUGAUGAUACGAAAUUGCCCUACGCAUGGUUUGAAUUUGUGGAUGAUUAUACAAAAAAAAUAUGCUGGAUUGAAUUUUUCUUCUAGAAAUCUUUUAGAUUCGGCCGCGUAGCUACUUAUAUGAAAUUACUUGAGGAGAAGCUAUUAAACUCCUAGAUAAUAUUAUGGUUAAUUAUUCUCAAUGGCAUACCAAAAGAUCUUCCACUAGUAAAAAAGUGCAUGCGAUUGAAGAGAUUAAUGUUUUGAGUGGAAAGAUGGAUGAGCUUAUGAAAUUAUUUUCUAGAAAGAGUGCUCCUAUUGAUCCUAAUGAUAUGCCUUUUUCUACUUUGAUUGAGAAUAAUAAUGAAUCUAUGGAUGUGAAUUUUGUUGGUAGGAACAAUUUUGGUAAUAACGCGUAUAGAGGUAAUUUUAAUCCUAGGCCGUUCCUAGUAAUUCCUCUAAUAAUUAUGGUAAUUCCUACAACAAUUCUUAUGGAAAUUAUAAUAAGAUGCCCUCUGAUUUUGAGAAUAGUGUUAAAGAAUUUAUGAGUUCGCAAAAGAAUUUCGAUGCUUUGAUUGAAGAAAAAUUGCUCAAGAUUGAUGAUUUGGCUAGGAACGUGGAUAGAAUUUCUCUUGAUGUUGAUUCUUUGAAACUUAUAUCUAUUCCACCCAAGCAUGAUAUCAAUGAGUCUGCCAAAGCUAUGAGAAUUUCCAUUGAUGAGUGCAAGGAAAGAAUCGCUAAGAUGCGUGCUAAAAAAGAUUGGUUUAUAAAAGCUUGUUCUUCCAGUUUCCGUGAAAAUAAUGAUGAAGAUCUUAAAGUGAUUGAUGUGACUCCUAUUGAAUAUUUUUUCCAAUAUAAAUCUUGAUAAAGAUGGGACUGGAGAUGAGUCAACUUUAGUUAAAAGGCGUCCCAAUGAUUCGGAGUUUUUAGAUCUUGAUACAAAAAUUGAUAAAAGUAGGAUUGGAGAGGUCAAAACUUUAAGUAGCAAUGAACCCACUCUUUUGGAUUUCAAGGAAUUUUAAUUAUGAUAAUUGUCUUUAAUAGAUUUUAUUUCCUUGUUGCAAUCCAUGUUGAAUUCCCCUCAUGCUUAUAAUAAAAAAAAUCUUUUACUAAACAUAUCGUUGAUGCCAUGAUGCAAUCUUUUGAAGAAAAGCUUGAAUUGGAAGUUUCAAUCCCUAGAAAACUUUAUGAUGAGUGGGAACCUACUAUUAAGAUUAAGAUCAAAGAUUAUGAGUCCCAUGCUUUGUGUGAUUUGGGUGCUAGUUUUUCCAUGAUUCCAAAAACUCUAUGUGAUGUGCUAGGUUUCCGUGAAUUUGAUGAUUGUUCCUUAAAUUUGCAUCUUGCGGAUUCCACUAUUAAGAAGCCUAUGGGAAGGAUUAAUGAUGUUCUUAUUGUUGAAAAUAGGAAUUAUGUGCCCAUAGAUUUCAUUGUUCUUGAUAUAGAUUGCAAUCCUACGUGUACUAUUAUUCUUGGUAGACCUUUUCUUAGAACGAUUGGUGCAACUAUUGAUAUGAAAGAAGGAAACAUUAGACUUCAAUUUCCGUUAAGGAAAGGUAUGUGCUAUCUUUGAGCUUGCGUUGGUUUUUCCCUUGAAGGGGAAAGGGUGAUGCAGCAAAGGAGCGUAAGUAUUUCCCUCAGUUUUGAGAACCAUGGUAUCAAUCCAGUAGGAGACUAUGCAACAAGCCACCGAAUACCUGCACAAACAAACACCAACUUGCAAGCAACGCGACAAAGGGGUUGUCAAUCCCUUCACGGUUAUUUGCAAUGUGAGAUCUGAUAGAGAUGGAUAAAUGGUAAAGUAAUAUUUUUGGUAUUUUUGGUUUAAGGGACGGAAAGUAAAGAUUGCAAAAUAAAGGAAAGGCAACAGAAAUUGGCAAGUUGACGGAAACCAAUAUGAUGCAAAAUAGACCCGGGGGCCAUAGGUUUCAAUAGAGGCUUCUCUCAAGAUAGAAAUUAUUACGGUGGGUGAACAAAUUACUGCCGAGCAAUUGAUAGAAAAGCGCAAAGUUAUGACGAUAUCUAAGGCAAUGAUCAUGAAUAUAGGCAUCACGUCCGUGUCAAGUAGACCGAAACGAUUCUGCAUCUACUACUAUUACUCCACACAUCGACCGACUCCUGCGUGCAUCUAGAGUAUUAAGUUCACAAGAACAUAGUAACGCAUUAAGCAAGAUGACAUGAUGUAGCAGGAUUAACUCAAGCAAUAUGAUGAAAACUCCAUCUUUUUAUCCUCGAUGGCAACAAUACAAUACGUGCCUUGCUACCUCUACUGUCACUGGGAAAGGACACCGCAAGAUUGAACCCAAAGCUAAGCACUUAUCCCAUUGCAAGAAAAACCAAUCUAGUUGGCCAAACCAUAUCGAUAGUUCGAAGAGACUUGCAAAGAUAUCAAAUCAUGCUUAUAAGAAUUCAGAGGAGAUUCAAAUAAUAUUCAUAGAUAAACUUGAUCAUAAAUCCACAAUUCAUCGGAUCUCGGCAAACAUGCCGCAAAAGAGUAUUGCAUUGAAUAGACCUCCAAGAACAUCGAGGAGAACUUUGUAUUGAGAAUCAAAGAGAGGUAAGAAACCAUCUAGCUACUAGCUAUGGACCCGUAGGUCUGAAGUAAACUACUCAUGCUUCAUCGGAGAGGCAAUGGUGUUGAUGUAGAAGCCCUUCGUGAUCGAUUCCCCCUCCGGCAGGAUGCCGGAAAAGGCCCCAAGAUGGGAUCUCAUGGGUACAGAAGGUUGCGGUGGUGGAAAAGUGGUUUCGUGGCUCUCCCGAAUAUUUUUGGGGUAUAAGAGUAUAUAAAGAAGGAAGAAUUAGGUCAGGGGAGCUAUGAGGGGCCCACGAGGUCGGGGGGAGCACCCCACCCCCCUGGGCGCGCCCUCCACCCUUGUGGCCGCCUCGAGGCUCCUCUGACUUGCACUCCAAGUCUCCUGGGUGUCUUCUGGUCCAAGAAAAAUCAUGGAGAAAGUUUUAUCCCAUUUGGACUCCGUUUGGUAUUCCAUUUUUGUGAAACUCUAAAACAAGGAAAAAAUAGAAACUAGCACUGGGCUCUAGGUUAAUAGGUUAGUCCCAAAAAUCAUAUAAAAUAGCAUAUUAAUGCAUAUAAAACAUCCAAAACAGAUAAUAUAAUAGCAUGGAACAAUAAAAAAUUAUAGAUACGUUGGAGACGUAUCAGUAUGGAACACUUUGCAAGAAAGAAAAUUAAAUUGCCUUAUGAAUCUAUUAUGAGAGCCACUUAUGGAUUGCAUGCCAAAGAUGAUAAUACUUAGAUCUAUUCGUGUUUUAUGCCUAGCUAAGGGCGUUAAACAAUAGCGCUUAUUGGGAGGCAACCCAAUUUUUUUUUGCUUUUUAGGUUCUAUUUUGCAAUGAAUAUUUCACCUAGCCUCUCGUUAGAUGUGGUUUUGUGUUUUAAUUAGUGUUUGUGCCAAGUAAGACCUUUGUGAUAAUUUACGGUGAUAGUUGAUUUGAUCUUGCUGAAAAACAGAAACUUUUGCGCUCAGGAAAAAAAUCUCAUUUUUUACAGAAGCGUGAUAAAAUACUGAUUCUUUCUGCAGAAGAUUAAUAAAAUAAUUUCUUAGGUUGUCCUAAUUUUUCAGAAUUUUUGGAGUUACAGAAGUAUUCGAAAUAUCCAGAUUGCUACACACUGUUCUGUUUUUGACAGAUUCUGUUUUCUAUGUGUUGUUUGCUUAUUUUGAUGAAUCUAUGGCUAGUAUCGGGGGGUAUGAACCAUGGAAAAGUUGUAAUACAGUAGAUAUUACACUGAUAUAAAUAAAGAAUGAGUUCACAACAGUACCAAAAGUGGUGAUUUAUUUUCUUAUACUAACGGAGCUUAUGAGAUUUUCUGUUGAGUUUUGUGUUGUGAAGUUUUCAAGUUUUGGGUAUGGAUUUGAUGGACUAUGGAAUAAGGAGUGGAAAGAGCCUAAGCUUGGGGAUGCCCCGAAAGGCAUCCCCUCUAUCGUCUUUGUCUAUCGGUAACUUUACUUGAGGCUAUAUUUUUAUUCACCACAUGAUAUGUGUUUUGCUUGGAGCGUCUUGUAUGAUUUGAGUCUUUGCUUUUUGGUUUGCCUGUUGUACACACCUUUUGAGAGAGACACGCAUGAAUCGUGAUUUAUUAGAAUACUCUAUGUGCUUCACUUAUAUCUUUUGAGCUAGGCAAUAUUGCUCUAGUGCUUCACUUAUAUCUUUUUAGAGCACAGCGGUGGUUUUAUUUUAUAGAAAUUGCUGAACACUCGUGCUUCACUUAUAUUAUUUUGACAGUCUCCAAACAUCACAAUAAUUUUCUUGGGUUAUAAAUUUAUUCCUAAUAUGAUAGACAUCCAAGAGGGAUAUAAUAAAAACUUUCAUAUAAAGUGCAUUGAAUACUAUGAGAAGUUUGAUUCCUUAUGAUUUUUUUAAGAUAUGAAGAUGGUGAGUAUUAGAGUCAUGCUAGUAAGUAAUUGUGAAUUUGGGAAAUAGUUGUUUUAAAGUUUGUGAUUCCCGUAGCAUGCACGUAUGGUGAACCGUUAAUGUAUGAAGUCGGAGCAUGAUUUAUUUAUUGAUUGUCUUCCUUAUGAGUGGCGGUCGGGGACGAGCGAUGGUCUUUUCCUACCAAUCUAUCCCCUAGGAGCAUGCAUGUAGUACUUCGUUUCGAUAACUAAUAGAUUUUUGCAAUAAGUAUAUGAGUUCUCUAUGACUAAUGUUGAGUCCAUGGAUUAUACGCACUCUCACCCUUCCACCAUUGCUAGCCUCUCUAGUGCCGCGCAACUUUCGCCGGUACCAUAAACCCGCCAUAUACCUUCCUCAAAACAGCCCCAUACCUAACUAUUAUGGCAUUUCCAUAGCCAUUCCGAGAAAUAUUGCCAUGCAACUUUCCACCGUUCUGUUUAUUAUGACACGCUCCAUCAUUGUCAUAUUGCUUUGCAUGAUCAUGUAGUUGACAUUGUAUUAAUGGCAAAGCCACCGUUCAUAAUUCUUUCAUACAUGUCACUCUUGAUUCAUUGCACAUCCCGAUAUACCGCGUAGGCAUUCAUAUAGAGUCAUAUUUUGUUCUAAGUAUCGAGUUGUAAGUAAAUAAAAGUGUGAUGAUUUUAAUUAUUAGAGCAUUGUCCCAUGUGAGGAAAGGAUGGUGGAAAAUUUGAGAGAAGGCCCAAAUAAAAAAAUGAGAGAAAGGAGAGAAGGGGCAAUGCUACUAUCCUUUUACCACACUUGUGCUCCAAAGUAGCACCAUGAUCUUCAUGAUAGAGAGUCUCCUAUAUUGUCAUUUUCAUAUACUAGUGGGAAUUUUUCAUUAUAGAACUUGGCUUGUAUAUUCCAAUGAUGGGCUUCCUCAAAUUGCCCUAGGUCUUCGUGAGCAAGCAAGUUGGAUGCACACCCACUUAGUUUCUUUUUGAGCUUUCAUAAACUUAUAGCUCUAGUGCAUCCGUUGCCUGACAAUCCCUACUCACUCACAUUGAUAUCUAUUGAUGGGCAUCUCCGUAGCCCGUUGAUAGGCCUAGUUGAUGUGAGACUAUCUCCUCCUUUUUCUCUUCUCCACAACCACCGUCUAUUCCACCUAUAGUGCUAUGUCCAUGGCUCACGCUCAUGUAUUGCGUGAAAGUUGAAAAAGUUUGAGAACAUCAAAAGUAUGAAACAAUUGCUUGGCUUUUCAUCGGGGUUGUGUAUGAUUUAAGUAUUUUGUGUGAUGAAGAUGGAGUAUAGCCAGACUAUAUGAUUUUGUAGGGAUAAGCUUUCUUUCGCCAUGUUAUUUUGAUAAGACAUAAUUGCCUUGUUAGUAUGCUUGAAGUAUUAUUGUUUUUAUGUCAAUAUUAAACUUUUGUUUCGAAUCAUACGGAUCUGAACAUUCAUGCCACAAUAAAGAAAAUUACAUGGAUAAAUAUGUUAGGUAGCAUUCCACAUCAAAAAUUCUGUUUUUAUCAUUUACCUACUCGAUGACGAGCAGGAAUUAAGCUUGGGGAUGCUUGAUACGUCUCCAACAUAUCUAUAAUUUUUUAUUGUUCCAUGCUAUUAUAUUAUCUGUUUUGGAUAUUUUAUAUGCAUUAAUAUGCUAUUUUAUAUUAUUUUUUGGACUAACCUAUUAACCUAGAGCCGAGUGCCAGUUUCUGUUUUUUUCCUUGUCUUAGAGUUCCGCAGAAAAGGAAUGCCAAACGGAGUCCAAAUGGAAUAAAACUUCCGCAAUGAUUUUUCUUGGACCAGAAGACAUCCAAAGGACUUGGAGUGCAAGUCAGAGAAGCCACGAGGCGGCCACAAGGAAGGAGGGCACGCCUCCCACCCUUGUGGGCCCCUCGUGACUCCACCGACCUAGUUUCUUCACCUUUAUAUUCCCAUAUAUCCCGAAACCAACAGAGAGAGCCACGAAAACACUUCUCCACUGCCGCAACCUUCUGUACCUGUGAGAUCCCAUCUAGGGGCCUUUGCCGCCGUCCUGCCGGAGGGGGAUUUGAUCACGCAGGGCUUCUACAUCAACACCAUUGCCCUUCCGAUGAAGAGUGGGUAGUUUACCACAGACCUACGGGUCCAUAGCUAGUAGCUAGAUGGCUUCUUCUCUCUCUUUGAUUCUCAAUACCAUGUUCUCCUCAAUGUUCUUGGAUAUCUAUUCGAUGUAAUACCUUUUUACGGUGUGUUUGCCGAGAUCUGAUGAAUUGUGGAUUUAUGAUCAGCUUAUCUCUGAAUAUUAUUUGAAUCCUCUCUGAAUUCGUAUAUGCAUGAUUUGAUAUCUUUGCAAGUCUCUUUGAACUAUCGAUUUGGUUUGGCCAACUAGAUUGGUUUUUCUUGCAAUGGGAGAAGUGCUUAGCUUUGGGUUCAAUCUUGCGGUGUCCUUUCCCAGUGAAAGUAGGGGUAGCAAGGCACGUAUUGUAUUGUUGCCAUCGACGAUAAAAAUAUGGGGUUUUCGUCAUAUAGCUUGUGUUAAUUCAUCUACAUCAUGUCAUCUUGCUUAAUGCAUUACUCCAUUCUUUAUGAACUUAAUGAAGGAAAUAUGCCCUAGAGGCAAUAAUAAAGUUGUUAUUUAUAUUUCCUUAUAUCAUGAUAAAUGUUUAUUAUUCAUGCUAGAAUUGUAUUAACUGGAAACUUAGUACAUGUGUGAAUACAUAGACAAACAGAGUGUCACUAGUAUGCCUCUACUUGACUAGCUCGUUAACCAAAGAUGGUUAAGUUUGCUAGCCAUAGACAUGAGUUGUCAUUUGAUGAACGGGAUCACAUCAUUAGAGAAUGAUGUGAUUGACAAGACCCAUCUGUUAGCUUAGCACUAUGAUCGUUUAGUUUGUUGCUAUUGCUUUCUUCAUGCCGUAUACAUGUUCCUAUGACUAUGAGAUUAUGCAACUCCCGAAUACCGGAGGAACACUUAGUGUGCUAUCAAACGUCACAACGUAACUGGGUGAUUAUAAAGAUGCUCUACAGGUGUCUCCUAUGGUGUUUAUUGAGUUGGCAUAGAUUGAGAUUAGGAUUUGUCACUCCAAUUGUCGGAGAGGUAUCCCUGGGCUCUCUCGGUAAUGCACAUCACUAUAAGCCUUGCAAGCAAUGUGACUAAUGAGUUAGUUGGGGGAUGAUGCACUACGGAACGAGUAAAGAGACUUGCCGGCAACGAGAUUGAACUAGGUAUGAUGAUACCGAUGAUCGAAUCUCGGGCAAGUAACAUACCGAUGACAAAGGGAACAACGUAUGUUGUUAUGCGGUUUGACCGAUAAAGAUCUUCGUAGAAUAUGUAGGAACCAAUAUGAGCAUCCAGGUUCCGCUAUUGGUUAUUGACCGGAGAUGAGUCUCGGUCAUGUCUACAUAGUUCUCGAACCCGUAGGGUCCACACGCUUAACGUUCGAUGAUGAUAUGUAUUGUGAGUUAUGUGAUUUGAUGCACCGAAGAUAGUUUGGAGUCCCGGAUGUGAUCACGGACAUGACGAGGAGUCUCGAAAUGGUCGAGACAUGAAGAUUAAUAUAUUGGAAGGUUAUGUUUGAACACAGGAAAGGUUUCGGAUAGGUUCGGGCAUUUUCCGGAGUACCGGGGGUUACCGGAACCCCCCGGGGGUUAAUGGGCCUUCAUGGGCCUUAGUGGAAGAGAGGAGGAGGCGGCCAGGUGGAGGCGCCCCCCCCCCCAAGACCAAUCCGAAUUGGGGAGGGGGGCCGGCCCCCCUUUCCUUCUCUCCCUCUUCCUCUUCCUUCCCCUCCUAGUUGGACUAGGAAAGGGGGGAACCUACUUCUAGUAGGAGUAGGAUUCCCCCUUGGGGCGCACCCCAUGAGGCCGGUCGGCCCCCUCCUCCACUCCUUUAUAUACGGGGGAGGGGGGCACCCCAUAGACAGACAAGUUGAUUUCUUAGCCGUGUGCGGUGCCCCCCUCCACAGAUUUCCACCUCGGUCAUAUUGUCGUAGUGCUUAGGCGAAGCCCUGCGCUGGUAACUUCAUCAUCACCGUCACCACGGUGUCGUGCUGACAAAACUCUCCCUCAGCCUCAGCUAGAUCUAGAGUUCGAGGGACGUCACUGAGCUGAACAUGUGCAGAUCGCGGAGGUGCCGUGCGUGGUACUUGAUCGGUUGGAUCGCGAAGACGUUCGACUACAUCAACCGCGUUACUUAACGCUUCCCCUUUCGGUCUAUGAGGGUACGUGGACACACUCUCAACGCUCAUUGCUAUGCUUCUCCUACAUAGAUCCUGCGUGAUCGUAGGAAAAUUUUGAAAUACUAUGUUUGAAGGAAAUAUGCCCUAGAGGCAAUAAUAAAGUUGUUAUUUAUAUUUCCUUAUAUCAUGAUAAAUUUUUAUUAUUCAUGCUAGAGUUGUAUUAACCGGAAACAUGAUACAUGUGUGAAUACAUAGACAAACAUAGUGUCCCUAGUAUGCCUCUACUAGACUAGCUCGUUAAUCAAAGUGGUUAAGUUUCCUGACCAUAGACAUGUGUUGUCAUUUGAUGAACGGGGUCACAUCAUUAGAGAAUGAUGUGAUGGACAAGACCCAUCCGUUAGCUUAGCAUUAUGGUCAUUGAGUUUUAUUGCUAUUGCUUUCUUCAUGACUUUUACAUGUUCCUCUGACUAUGAGAUUAUGCAACUCCCGAAUACCGGAGAAACACCUUGUGUGCUAUCAAACGUCACAACGUAACUGGGUGAUUAUAAAGAUGCUCUAAAGGUGUCUCCGAAGGAGUUUGUUGGGUUGGCAUAGAUCAAGAUUAGGAUUUGUCACUCCGAGUAUCGGAGAGGUAUCUCUGGGCCCUCUCAGUAAUGCACAUCACUAUAAGCCUUGCAAGCAAUGUGACUAAUGAGUAGUUGCAGGCUGGUGCAUUACGGAACGAGUAAAGAGACUUGUCGGUAACGAGAUUGAACUAGGUAUGGUGAUACCGAUGAUCGAAUCUCGGGCAAGUAACAUACCGAUGAAAAGGGGAACAACGUAUGUUGUUAUGCGGUUUGACCGAUAAAGAUCUUCGUAGAAUAUGUAGGAGCCAAUAUGAGCAUCCAGGUUCCGCUAUUGGUUAUUGACCGGAGAUGUGUCUCGGUCAUUGUCAUGGACUUGUCACGUCAGAUGUCCUAGUGUGAGGACUUAGUCGUGGAGCCAUCGCAACGAAGUUAACUUAAAGGGGUUAAACGAGACAAAGGACACUGGGAGUUAUACUGGUUCGGCCCCUUGCGGUGAAGGUAAAGGCCUAAUCCAGUUUGUGGUGGUAUUGCUAGGGUUUCGAUGACCAGGGAGCGAAUACGCUUAUCCUGGCUCUCGAUCUGUUGUUUCUUGUCCCUAAACCGCCGCAGGGUCGUCCCUUUAUAUACACAGGUUGACGCCUUGCGGUUCACAGAAUCCCGGCAGGCUCAUAAACGUGUCCGGCUCAGUAUCUACUCUUUCUUAUUUUACAAUACAAGUCAUACACCUAUGGCGGUUUACAUCUAUGGGCCCUAACCCGCCUCUGGGCUUUGGGCCUUCUUAUUAAGUCUCCUUCAUAAUUCGCCAUCUUCUAUGUCUUCAUGGGUUUUAAUACUGGUAAAUCAUCAUGAGUAUAAUCCGGCCCCUCCUGGGCGGUUUAUACUCAAUAAUUAUAUCCCCAACAUUAGGCCCCGGGUUGAUUUGACCUUGUUCACAUCAAUCUUCAAUACUUAGAAAAAAUCCCUCCUUCAUUACCUUCGCGAAACUUAUAACUCGUCAUGACGUCAUCUUCUGGAAUCAUAAUAACCCGUCGUGACGUCACCUACCAUUAAUUUUACACAGAGCCAAAAUCUUUUAAUGUAUCUCCUUAUCUUUAAUGAAUCUCCAAAAAUCGAGGCGUCUGCACGUUUACAGAUCCGUUUUUUGACCUCCUCGAUUCCCGUGCUUGCCACUUAUCCAUUCGCCUUAUAAAUAGGACCGGGGGUCNNNNNNNNNNNNNNNNNNNNNNNNNNNNNNNNNNNNNNNNNNNNNNNNNNNNNNNNNNNNNNNNNNNNNNNNNNNNNNNNNNNNNNNNNNNNNNNNNNNNNNNNNNNNNNNNNNNNNNNNNNNNNNNNNNNNNNNNNNNNNNNNNNNNNNNNNNNNNNNNNNNNNNNNNNNNNNNNNNNNNNNNNNNNNNNNNNNNNNNNNNNNNNNNNNNNNNNNNNNNNNNNNNNNNNNNNNNNNNNNNNNNNNNNNNNNNNNNNNNNNNNNNNNNNNNNNNNNNNNNNNNNNNNNNNNNNNNNNNNNNNNNNNNNNNNUUCACUUCUGCUUCAACGUUGGCCGCUGCAUCAACCUGAUUGGUCCAGAUCUCACUCGCGCGCCUCCGCUGCUCCAGCAGCCUCGGUAAGUUUUUCCUCCUUCCCUCUCCAUAGAUCCCAUUAGCGUUUGUUCGAGCUCAUGGAAGUUUAGCACUGUUCUUCCCUUGUUCUUCGCUGUAACAUGAACUCUUGAUCCAAACUUGAUAUUUCCUUGUGCGGCAAUAGCCAUAGUCCUUCUUUCCUUAUCAGACAUCUCUUUUUAAGUAGAAAAUCCAAUCUGGAACUUCAUAAACUGUUCAAGUACCAAUAUUUAGGUCUGAAUAUAUUUUCAUUUUCUGACAUGCGGUAGAUCCAAAAUUGUGAUAUCCAUCUGUGAAAACUGUUUUUCAUCACUUAGUCAUUUUCCAACUUUAGAUCUAUACUUUCAAUAUCUGUGUAGGCAGUUUAACUCAGAAAAUAAUAACCCGCCAGGUACCAUUAGUCCCCUCUUAAACCGCCAAUUGCUCAUCUCUGCAACUUGAUAACGCCAAUCACCGGUUUAGCACUUUUGCAUGCUUCAACACUUUCUGCCUUUUAAUCUUUAACGGAUUAACCAUGAAUCUUAAACCGGCAUAAACCUUCUUCCAAGUGAUUGAAUAAAUGGCCAAGUCCUUUUAUUCCUGGAACUGGGUUCAAUCCCGGGUUACAGAAGAAAAACUGAACGGGUGUGUUGCUACUAGCGCUUUAGCCAAAAAGGAAGUCAUCCACUGGAGAGUCCCUGGUCCUGAAAAUCCCCUUGAGCCCAAGGAAGGGGAAGUGAUCGUUUUUGUUGACCAUCUGAGUCGAGGAUUCAGCCCUCCCGGAUCAAAAAAAUCCAUGAAGUGCUUCAUUUCCUCCAACUUCACCCUCAAGAUAUUGGACCUAACUCUGUAUCCAAUAUUUGCAAUUUUCAAGUGUUCUGUGAAGCUUACCUGCAAGAGGAACCCACGGUCGAACUGUUCAGAGAUUUCUACUAUUUAAACUGCCGCACAGAAUUUGUGGACGGGCCCAAUACUGAACUUGGCGGGGUGUCCAUCCAAAAGAGAAAAGAUGUCAGCUUCCCUCACGCUAACCAUCCUAGCCAUCCCAAAGACUAGAAUCAAACUUGGUUCUAUUGCCGAGAUACAUCUCCAGCUGAUGAGAAUCCUCUGUCGGGUUAUCGUGCUCACCGGCUUAGCAGUACACAUCCACUCCCCCAAAGACUCAGCGCAAAGGAAUAGGCCAAGUAUGCACCACGGCUUUCAAAGCUCAGAGCCUUUGUGCAAACGGCCUAACAGGCUUUGAUUUCGUCCGUUGCUGGGUGUCUUGGAGCAUUUUACCCUUAAGCCGUCGCCCCGGUUUAAUGUGUGAAUACAUAGGGGACGUGAAAGAUCCUCAACGCCACAUUGAUAUUCAGCUGACUAACGCUGAAGUUACUGAAGCUGUCAAGAAAAUGUUGGAUAUACCGGUGGCUGAGUGCAGCAAAACAGGGCUUAGUCCUUUCUGCGCUUCAAAUAAACUGCCAGCUGUAAGAAUUGCCCAACUCUUGCUUAAUCCAUAUUAUUAAUACUCCCUUAUGAUCUUUUCAACUUUUAACAGGGUGAUGAUCCAUUAUGGAAGAGGAAACCGCAAUAUAAACCGGCCAAGACAGCUCGUCCCAAGACCAAGGUCCACAAGAAGCUCGCCAAGAAGAAAACCGUCGAGUCUACCGAGUUAAACAUUGAUGAUGCCAAUGAUAACCCGGAGUUAGAGGUAGAACUUGAUUCACUUGGCUCCUUUUUCAUACACCUCAUUGGCAAUGAUUGUUAUCAGGACGACGCGGAAGCCAGCCGUGCAAGUGACGCAGAGGUAAUUAUUCUCUCAUCCGGCUCAGAACCUCUGCCCACACAGAAAACCCGACAAGCAAACCGGAAAGUAAGAUUUUCUCACCCUCUAGCUCACUUGGAUCCAAACUAUCUUUUGAAGAAACAGCAACACAAAGCUCGCCACACAACCCAGCAUAGUGGCCAUGUGGUAACUUCUUUCGGUUUACCGAACACGCCGGUUCGUAAACGCCGCCCAGAGGUCUCUUAUACUUCUGACACAUGUCAUCCUAAGGCGGGUUAUUUCCGACAACCUCUUAAUCCGUCUGAUUCAAAUUAUCAGGGAACUUCCCAUUCUUCCUCUGGCGAGUCAACAGGAACACAAAUUCCAACCCUCAAAACUGUUCCUGGGUGAGCACAUUUAAUUGACCCUUCAUACCUUAUGCUUGAUCAUUAUACUAACCUGUUUCUUGCAUCUUAUUUUCAGAGCCAAGGCCAGACCCAGCAAGAAGGCCAAACUGAAUAAUCCAGUUAAUGAUUCCAAUCCAUCUGGACCAGAAUGGACCCCGGAACCUUCUAAUCCAAAUACUGAAGCUAUUCUUGAUGAUCCGCCACCGCAAGAUCAUGAAAUUGAAGUUGAACAUAUGGAAGCCGAUCCGAUGAUUCAUGCUGAUAAACCGCCAAGCCCAACUAAAGUUGUUGUGACAACACUGACGAUGUUAUGGUCACUGGUGCUAGUUACACUGCCCCAGGCAACCCCACUGCUCUGUCAAAACAUAGUGCCAAAGAAGAAUUUUCUGCUGUUGACAAAGGCAAGUGGAAGGCAGACUUGGAAAGCUAUGCCCACCUCAGCGCCCAAGACAUUCAUUCUGGGUUUUUAAACCGUUUGUACACAAGCCGCGACUAUGAAGCCGGUUUACUGAACAUGAUGGAGCGAUAUGAGGUAAAUGUUGUUAACUCUGCAUAAAUAUUCUUCCCUUCGCUGCCAAGUUUAUUGAACAUAAUAGAAUAGAAUGUUCUGUAGACUUCCUAGAACCAUAUAGAUCAUCUCCAGUACCGUCAAUAUGAACCGGGACUUAUAGAAUAACAACUCUUCAAUUUUGCCUGUGUAGCCCCCAAGGGCCGGUUUAUGCUUUCAAGAUGAACGGAUCUUUGGAAUAACAACUCUUCAAUUUUCCCUUUGUAAAUCGGCUAACCACCAAGCUGAUAGUGGAAGAAAAAUCCAUAGUUUUAACUGGAGCAAAUAUGCAUUAGCCCCCAAGUGCCAAGAAUAAUGCCUGUACUGAGCUUGGGACUUGUAAAAAAUUUGAUAAGAAGCAAUAGACAUUAGCCCCCAAGUGCCAAGAAUAAUACUUGUUAUGUGCUUGGGACUUGAAAUAUGCCAUGUCAUCUCAUAAGAUGCUUGUCUCUUGCAGGCUGAGCUUAGCAAAAAGGAAUCCCAAAUCGUCGACCUUCAAGAAAAUAUCAAAUCGCAACAAGCAGAGACUUCCAAGGCCAAGGAUGAACUAACCAGUGCCUUAGCAGCAAUGGAAAAACUGAAGGAAAGCUUCAAAAACAAGCGGGCAGGUUGGGAUACAGAAAAGUCAACUCUGCUAAAGAGGGAUGAAGAUGCUGAAGCGGCCCUUAAUCCGGUGGCGGAGGAGCUGACUGGCUUGAAACAGCAAAUAAAUGCCAUGACUGCUGCCAUUUUUGGUAAAUAGCUUCUUCAUAAGCUUUAAACAUGUAUAAUCUAAUACACUACCGGUUUACAGACGUUUUUGAUGAUGCAGGAUCCCGCAUUACUCAUCUUGGCUCGGAUAUGCGGAAAAAUCUGAAAGCUGUCUAUACACUUGUAGAGCAAUUAUAUACCGACGUACAACGGGUCAUGUGCAUAGCUUCCCAUAAUAAGCCACCCCCAACUUUGAUCAAGGAGACAUUGGAAAGGCUGCCUAUGAUGCCUGCCCGGUUUGAAGAACUAAAGAAAUCAGCUGCAAGGGCAGGUCCUCUUACCGCACUAACUCGGGCCAAAGCAUGGAUAUCUGAUCUUGAUCCGACUGACUUGGCGAACGGCUACCCAAGCAUAAAGGAGGACGGGUCAGACUUUAAUACGGAUGACCUCGGAGCCAUUACGAGGGAAAUGCGCCCACUGGCUAGUAAAUUGGCUGAUGAGACUGAUCUUUCAUUUUAUCAGUCGGUUUAUGAUGCCAACAAUAAGAGAGUUAAAGCGCCAACUUAUGAUACUCCAAGCCUUACUCCUCCAAUCCGUAAGCACACUUAUGCCCCUGAUGUUGACCCCUCCCCACCUAUAAGUGAUGAAGCUGUAUUCAAAGCCUUAACUGGGAUUGAUUGGACAACCAUUGACUUCCAGCCACUGGGUAGAGAAGAUGAAGAUGAACCGGCGUUGGAUGAUCCACAACCGUCAAGUCCACCAGGCCAAGAUUCAUGAACCGGAGGCUGGCUGAGCCUCUGCUCUCUGCAAGAUUUGUUAAAAAAAUUAUUCUUUUGGGCAUCACACGCCUUUUAAUAGGCUAGUUUAAACUCUUGAUUUGUUAUGCCAUCGCGCAUAUUUGCUCUUGCAUGACACUGCUGAUCCGCCAUGUUAAGAUAUGCCACAUAUGCUUAUGAUAUGAGCAAUUUGAAUCUGUUUCUGCAUUCAACAGUGUAAAAAGUGUCCUGGCGGUUUACCGCUGGACUCGUUAUAAUACCCAAUAUAAAGCUAUGGGGAAUUAAUCAUAGUUUAUAACCAAAGCUGGACUUAAGGACAACCAUAUAUAAUUGAGAAUAUAUCAUACCUGUGAUAUUUGAUCACACUGUUGGUUUACCAAGCCAGUGUAAUAAGGGUGAUAACCCAAAAUUUGAGCACUGAUAAUUAUAUAUUGCCGGUUAUGAACAAAACCAGGCCGGGUUAAUCAACACAGGAUAUUAUCUUAUCUCAUACUGGCGACUUAUAGUCAAAAACCAGGCCAGGUCAAUAAACACCGGAUAUUAUUUUAUCGCAUACUGGCGAUUUAUAGUCAAAAGCCAGGGCGGGUUAAUAAACACCGGUGAAUUAUAAUCAUAAAGCAUUAUAAGCCUCAUCAAAUAAACCUCAAAAGAUCUGUCGAAUAAAAACAAACGAAAAACGAGGCUUUUCAUGGGCUGCCAGGCCGAAAAUCGAGUGCUUUCACGGGCCGCACAGCCACUGAGUUAAACCUAUAUACAAACCUUAUAAGAUGGACCUCACAUAACCAAUCACCGUUUUAACUUUGACAAGUUCAGGGUCUGUAUAAGAUUGACUUGUCAAAUGUACGGCGGGUCAUUCCAGGAUUACCUGGGCGGAGUGGCUUACUUAAAAAGGCAGGAUAACUCGGGGUUUUAGGUGAGUACACCUGGCUUCCAAGCCUGGCUUUUAAGCCUAUUACAAGGGUUAUAAAAACUCUUUGUUCUUUAGAACAAGGAGCCCCCAAGCAAUAUUUUUGAGUUGUGCUCAAGGGCCACCUAUGUUUGAGAUGUGCUUUUGCAACAGACUCUCUUUGGUCCCUUUAACCUGGGUAGCAAGCCCCCAAGUUUUUUUUCAGUGUCUUAUAAGCCGGUUCAAAGGGUAAUCAUAACUUCGCCCAUAAGCCGGAAGCCCCCAAGUAACCAAAGACUAAUUAAGGAAAAACGAUAGAGGCCCUGCUUUAGCAGGGAUGCCGGUUUAUUAUAUUGAUCAUAAUAUAUACAUUGUCAAAAAUAUGUACAUCAGAAGAGCCAUUGGCUCAAGUGUAGUAAGGCCGAAGAUGAGCAAUAUUCCACGGCCGGUGGGUCUCCUCCUCCGAUUUAUGUGAGUCUUUGUGCUCUCGAACAUCGAUAAGGUAGUAUGACCCAUUGUUGAGAUUCUUACUGACCACAAAGGGUCCUUCCCAAGGUGGGGACAACUUGUGCAUAUCAGUCUGAUCCUGAAUAAGCCGGAGCACCAAAUCGCCUUCUUGGCUGAUAAAUCGCCGAACAAGCCGCUGCGAUGUCACGCUCCUCAUCCAACAGGUCAAGUGCUUCCUAACGUGCUUUUUUGUUGUCCGCUUCAACAUAAGCCGCUACCCGAGGUGAGUCAUGACGGAUGUCACUAGGGAGAACUGCCUCUGCUCCAUAAACCAUGAAGAAAGGCGUGUAACCCGUAGAUCUAUUGGGGGUGGUAUUAAUGCUCCAUAACACGGAAGGUAACUCCUCCACCCAACAACCCGGCGUCCUCUGUAAGGGAACCAUAAGCCGGGGCUUGAUGCCUCUCAGGAUCUCUUGAUUGGCUCUCUCAGCUUGACCAUUAGAUUGGGGGUGAGCCACUGACGACACAUCAAGCCGGAUAUGCUCACGUUGACAAAAUUCUUUCAUAGCACCCUUGGAGAGGUUAGUGCCAUUGUCUAUUAUAAUGCUGUGUGGAAAGCCAAAACGGAAGAUCACCUUCUUCAUUAAUUGAACCGUCGUUGCUGCAUCACACUUACUGACCGGCUCUGCCUCUACCCACUUAGUGAACUUAUCAACCGCCACCAAAAGGUGGGUCUUCUUAUCUUUGGACCUCUUAAAAGGUCCAACCAUAUCAAGCCCCCAAACUGCAAACGGCCAAGUAAUUGGAAUCAUCCUCAAUUCUUGAGCCGGUACAUGGGCUCGUCGUGAAAAUUUCUAACAUCCGUCGCAUUUACUGACCAGAUCCUCAGCAUCAGCAUGAGCCGUCAGCCAAUAAAAUCCAUGAUGAAAAGCCUUGGCCACAAGAGACUUAGAGCCAGCAUGGUGGCCACAAUCUCCUUCAUGAAUCUCGCGCAGAAUCUCACAACCUUCUUCAGGUGAAACACAACGUUGAAACGCCCCUGUGACACUGCGAUGAUGUAGCUCCUCGUUGACAAUAGUCAUUGACUUGGACCGCCGGGUUAUUUGCCUGGCCAAAGUUUCAUCCUCCGGUAACUCGCCCCGGGUCAUAUAAGCCAAAUAUGGAACCGUCCAAUCAGGGAUUACAUGAAGAGCUGCCACCAACUGAGCUUCCGGGUCAGGAAUAGCCAAAUCCUCCUCUGUAGGCAACUUGACCGACGGGUUAUGCAAAACGUCAAGAAAGACAUUAGGCGGCACCGGUUUACAUUGAGAACCCAACCGGCUUAAGGCAUCCGCCGCUUCAUUUUUUCGCCGAUCAACAUGCUCAACCUGAUAACCCUUGAAGUGACCAGCAAUAACAUCCACCUCUCGUCGAUAAGCCGCCAUGAGUGGAUCCUUGGAAUCCCAAGUACCAGAGACUUGUUGAGCCACCAAGUCUGAGUCGACAAAACACCUUACCCGGCUUAAGUUCAUCUCCUUAGCCAUCCGAAGACCGUGGAGCAAGGCCUCAUAUUCAGCUGCAUUGUUAGUGCAAGGGAACAUCAAACGGAGAACAUAACAAAAUUUAUCACCUCGAGGGAAAGCGAGCAAACUCCAGCCCCCGAGCCCUCCAAUUGUCUGGACCCAUCAAAGUGAAUAGUCCAAUACGUGUUAUCUGGCUUUUCCUCAGGCAUCUGCAGCUUUGUCCAGUCAUUGAUGAAAUCCACCAGUGCCUGAGACUUGAUGGUCGUGCGAGGCAUAUAUUUCAAACGAUGAGGACCAAGCUCAAUGGCCCACUUGGCUAUCCGACCUGUGGCUUCUCUGUUCUAAAUAAUAUCCCCUAAAGGAGCAAAACUAACCACAGUGAUGGGAUGACCCAAAAAAUAUUGCUUGAGCUUCCGACUGGCCAUGAACACCCCAUAUACAAGUUUCUGCCAGUGCGGAUAUCUCUGCUUGGACUCAAUAAGCACCUCGCUGAUGUAGUAAACCGGCCUUUGAAACGGAUAUUCCUUGCCUGCCUCCUUUCGUUCCACCACAAUAGCCACACUGACAGCCCCGGCACUAGCAGCUACGUACAACAAUAAUGGCUCUUUAUCGACAGGAGCAGCCAGAACAGGUGGUUCAGCCAGCUGCUUCUUCAAGUCCUCAAACGCUGCAUUAGCGGCAUCACUCCAAACAAAAUUAUCUGUCUUUUUCAUCAUCUCAUACAGAGGGAUCGCCUUCUCUCCCAACCGGCUUAUGAACCGGCUUAACGCCGCAAUACGACCCGCCAGACGUUGUACAUCAUUGACACACGCCGGUUUAGCCAGAGAAGUGAUGGCUUUGAUCUUUUCCGGAUUAGCUUCAAUGCCCCUGUUAGACACUAGAAAGCCUAAGAGCUUGCCUGCCGGUACACCAAAGACACACUUGGCCGGGUUAAGCAUCAUCUUAUAAACCCGGAGAUUAUCAAAGGUUUCCUUCAAAUCGUCUAUCAACAUCUCCUUCUUUCUAGAUUUUACCACAAUAUCAUCAACAUAAGCAUGAACAUUGCGCCCAAUCUGAUUAUGAAGGCAAUUCUGCACACAUCGCUGGUAAGUCGCCUAAGCACUCUUGAGCCCAAAAGGCAUAGACACAUAGCAGAAGGCGCAGAAGGGAGUUAUAAAAGCUGUCUUCUCCUGGUCCUUAACUGCCAUCUUGAUCUGAUGAUAACCAAAAUAAGCAUCCAAAAAACUCAAAUGCUCACAACACGCCGUAGCAUCGAUAAUCUGAUCAAUACGAGGGAGAGCACAAGGAUCAGCCGGACAAGCCUUGUUUAAAUCCGUGUAGUCCACACACAUACGCCAAGUGCCAUUCUUCUUAAGUACCAGCACCGGGUUAGCCAACCACUCAGGAUGAAAAACCUCAACAAUAGACCCAGCCGCCAAGAGUCAGGCUACCUCCUCACCAAUGGCCUUACGUCUUUCUUCAUUAAAGCGAUGAAGAAACUGCUUGACCGGUUUAAACUUGGGAUCAAUAUUAAGAGUGUGCUCAGCGAGUUCCCUCGGUACACCCGGCAUGUCAGAAGGUUUCCAUGCAAAGAUGUCCCGGUUCUCACGGAUGAACUCGAUGAGCGCGCUUUCCUAUUUCGGAUCCAGAUUAGCACUGAUGAUGAACUGCUUGGAUGAAUCGCCAGGAACGAAAUCAACCAUCUUGGUAUCAUCUGCCGACUUGAACUUCAGGCCCGGUCAUGCUCUGCAGUUGGCUUUUUCAAAGAUGUCACAUCCGCCGGAUCAACAUUGUCCUUAUAAAAUUUUAACUCCUCCGUUGCACAAACCGACUUAGCAUAAGCCGCAUCACCUUCUUCGCAUUCCAAAGCUAUCUUUCGGCUCCCAUGCACUGUGAUGGUCCCUUUGUAACCCGGCAUCUUGAGCUGUAGAUAAACAUAACAAGGCCUGGCCAUGAACUUAGCAUAAGCCGGCUGUCCAAACAGAGCGUGAUACGGGCUGUGAAUCUUGACUACUUCAAAGGUCAAUGUCUCUGACCUAGAGUCAUGCUCAUCUCCAAAAGCAACUUCCAGAGCUAUCUUACCAAGUGGGUAUGCCGACUUAUCAGGCACCACGCCAUGGAAAACACUGUUCGACGGUUUAAGAUUUUUAUCUGUCAACCCCAUGCAACGGAAGGUUUCAUAAUAAAGGUUAUUGAUGUUGCUCCCUCCGUCCAUGAGUACCUUGGUGAACUUAUAUCCUCCGACCUGAGGUGCGACUACUAAAGCCAAGUGACCCGGAUUAUCAACCCGGGGCGGGUGAUCUUCCCGACUCCACACAACGGGCUGCUCAGACCAGCGCAAGUAAUGGGGAACUGCCGGUUCAACAGCGUUCACCGCCCUCUUAUGAAGCUUCUGAUCCCCAUUUGCAUAAAAUUGUGGUGAAGACGUGGUACUGCCCGCUAUUCAACUGCUUCGGGUUACUUUGAUACCCAGAUUGCUGCUGUUGACUCCCCUGAUUACUCUGCUGAUUCUAACCACCCUGGUUGCCGUGAUUGCCUUGAUUUUCUUGGAAUCCAGAGCUAGAACCACCACCGACAUAACCCGGUCCAUGAGAGCCGGAUCCUGAGCCGCCACCUGGCCCAUGACUGUCUUGAAAAAGAUUGGAAUUCUUGUACUCCUUCAUAAUGUAACAAUCCUUCCAGAGGUGCCCGGACGGUCUUUCUCGCGUACCAUGUCUUGGGCACGGCUGAUUUAGCAUCUGUUCAAGAUUAAAGCCCGAUCCUCCGGUCCGUGGGGGCGGUUUACCCUUACGAUCCUGACCAUUAUUCUGCAUAUUGGUGUUAGCCACAAAGUCCAAACUAUUAUCAGCCUUAUGUUUACCAUUGCCUCCCUGAUUCGCCGGAUUAUGAUGCUGCCCUCUGGUACUGCUGCUCUUCUUUCCCUUUCCCGGUUUUUCAUCAUCAGACUCGGGGUCCUUGGUACCAUCAGAGUCAGCGUAUUUAACCAGAGCCGCCAUGAGUGUCCCCAUGUCAUUGCAGUGGCAUUUGAGCCGUCCCAAUUUCUGCUUCAGGGGCGUGAAACGACAAUUGCUUUCCAACAUUAAGACUGCUGAAUCGGCAUUGAUGCAAUCCGACGAGUGAGGAUUGUUGAGACCCGGCGCACCCAAUGAGUCGUCGAUUCACCUUCUUCUUGGACACAGGCGGCUAAAUCCACAAUUGACAUGGGCUGCUUGCAUGUGUCUUUAAAAUUCUGGAUAAACCGGGCCUUUAACUCGGCCCAUGACCCAAUGGAGUUGGCAGGGAGCCCCUUCAACCAAGUGUGGGUCGUCCCCUCCAACAUCAGGGGGAAAUAUUUAGCACACGCAGCAUCGCUAACAUCCAGCAAUUCCAUGGCCAUCUCAUAACUCUCGAUCCAUGCCUCAGGAGGUAAGUCGGCUGUGUAGUUAGGGACCUUGCGAGGACCUUUGAAAUCCUUGGGCAGACGCUCGUUACGUAGAGCGAGCACUAAACAUGGCACGCCCAAAUUCCUAAAGGUUACACCUGCCUCCACCGAAGUUGUUGGACAAACCGGAGUAGGUUGGCAGGCUGCAUACUGUGCUGCUAGUUCGGCCUCUCGACGUGCUCUACCUUGAUCCACUACGUUCUGAGCAUCAGCACCACCGCCCGCCGGGUUAUGUCCACGGGGCGGGUUAUGGUUCCGUCCACUGCUUGACACAGCCGGCUCAUCGAUAUGCCUGCUGUAACUCCGGCUCGGGCGAGGGGUGGAAUGAAUCAUGUCACUACUGUGAGAGUAAGCCUGCUGCUGAACCAAAGCUGUCUGAAGGAGCUCUCUAGCCCUCCGUGUUUCAACUGUCGUCGGAGACUCGCCCUCAACCGGGAGAGCUGCGAACCGUGACGCCGCAGCGAUCAUGUUAUCCAAAGGGUUAGAGUACUGACCCGGUGGCGUCGGCACGUGCUGAGGCGGGUUAUUGUUCUGACGAGGCAGGUCCGUCGCGCGUGGCUGAACUGGCGUACCCGUCCCAGGUGCUUCGACCCGGUUUACCACUGUCGGGUUACUGGUUCCUGCUCCUGGCGUGUUAAAGAGGUUUCUUGCCUCGUAAACCGGGGGCAGGCGAGUCUGAUGCCUCCUCCUCAUGACUUCGUUUGAGGCGUUCUGAUCCAGCAUGAGCCGGUAAGACUCCGACUGAAUCCGCUGUGCCUGAGCAUCCAAAGCCUCCCGCUCCUCGGCCAUCCUCGUGUUUUCUGUGUUCAGCUCCUCCUUUGCCAGUGCUAUCUCAUCACGCAAUUUUGUGACCGCCGCAUUAUGCUGAUCCUGAUCCGCCGGGUUGACCACUGUUGUCAACAACGCUGUCAGCUUAUCCAGCAAGUCAGUUAAGACCUGAGCCGGCGGGCGCACAGGGCCCCUGCCCCCGCAGCCAUUGCCGCUGCUGACCCGGAAAUCAGCUCUGCUGCAGUCGACGAGUGCUGCACGGGCUGUGUACCGGCCAUGAAGAUUGCAACCCGGUUCGGCGGCUCGCAGGGGUCCGGAAUACUGUCGCCAUCGGAACAGCCCCCAAGCCGGCCGUCUUGCAGUUGAUACAAUGACUCGGUCUCUCCGGUGGACGAUUCAUCAUCAGAGUAAACAACCGUCUCACCACCAAAUGCCGAUCUACCUUCAGAUUCCGCUCCAUGGAUGAAUCCCACGAAGGCAUGAUUCAUGGCAGGCUGAACUCGAGCGGGUCUCGUACGCUGAGCCGUCUCAAUGAUGUCGGUGCAGAUGUCCGGCUCAGGGCCCGGUUCGUCGAUCUUGCUAAUGAAGACGUGAAUUCCGCUGAAGGGGACCCGGUACCCGUACUCGAUUGAGCCGGCCUCGGGGCCCCAGCCUGCGUCGUCGAUGUAGAGCUUGCCACGAUGACUCUUGGUCAUCCGGCCCAUAGUGUACCCCUUGAUCCCUUCAAAGUUGCCCUCUAAGAACUUGAAACCAUCGUGCGAUAGCCCCACGGUGGGCGCCAACUGUCGUGGAAUUGUCACGUCAGAUGUCCUAGUGUGAGGACUUAGUCGUGGAGCCAUCGCAACGAAGUUAAAUUAAAGGGGUUAAACGAGACAAAGGACACAGGGAGUUAUACUGGUUCGCCCCUUGCGGUGAAGGUAAAGGCCUAAUCCAGUUUGUGGUGUUAUUGCUAGGGUUUCGAUGACCAGGGAGCGAAUACGCUUAACCUGGCUCUCGAUCUGUUGUUUCUUGUCCCUAAACCACCAUCGGGUCGUCCCUUUAUAUACAUAGGUUGACGCCCUGCGGUUCACAGAAUCCCGGCCGGCUCAUAAACGUGUCCGGCUCGGUAUCUACUCUUUCUUAUUUUACAAUACAAGUCAUACACCUAUGGCGGUUUACAUCUAUGGGCCCUAACCCACCUCUGGGCUUUGGCCCUUCUUAUUAAGUCUCCUUCAUAAUUUGCCAUAUUCUAUGUCUUUAUGGGUUUUAAUACUGGUAAAUCAUCAUGAGUAUAAUCCGGCCCCUCCUGGGCGGUUUAUACUCAAUAGUUAUAUCCCCAAUAGUCAUGUCUACAUAGUUCUCGAACCCAUAGGGUCCGCACGCUUAACGUUCGAUGAUGAUUUGUAUUAUGAGUUAUGUGAUUUGAUGUACCGAAGGUUGUUUGGAGUCCCGGAUGAGAUCACAGAAUGACGAGGACUCUCGAAAUGGUCGAGACGUAAAGAUCGGUAUAUUGGAAAGCUAUAUUCGGACAUCCGAAAGGUUCUGAGUGAUUCGGGUAUUUUUCGGAGUACCGGAGAGUUACGGGAAUUCACCGGGGGAAGUAGUGGGCCUUAAUGGGCCAUACGGGAAAGGAGAGAAGGGCCUCGAGGGGUGCCCCCCCAUGGCAAGUACGAAUUGGACUAGGGAGGGGGAGGCGCCCCCUUCUCUUUCCUUCUCCCUCUCCUACUCCUUCCCUCUCUCCCCUCUUGGAAAAGGAAGGGGACUCCAACUAGGAUUGGGAAUCCUAGUUGGACUCCCCCUAUAGGCGCGCCCCUCCUAGGCCGGCCUCCUCCUCCUCCCUCCUUUAUAUACGUGGCCAAGGGGGCACCCCAAGACACACAAGUUGAUCUUUUAGCCAUGUGUGGUGCCGCCCUCCACAGUUUUACACCUCGGUCAUAUCGUCAUAGUGCUUAAGCGAAGCCCUGCGCCGGUAACUUCAUCAUCACCGUCACCACGCCGUCGUGCUGACGAAACUCUCCCUCGGCCUCAACUGGAUCAAGAGUCCGAGGGACGUCACCGAGUUGAACGUGUGCAUAUCGUGGAGGUGCCGUGCGUUCGGUACUUGGAUCGGUUGGAUCGCGAAGACGUUCGACUACAUCAACCACGUUACUAAACGCUUCCGCUUUCGGUCUAUGAGGGUACGAGGACAUACUCUCCCCGCUCGUUGCUAUGCUUCUCCUAGAUAGAUCUUGCGUGAUCGUAGGCAAAUUUUUGAAAUACUACGUUCCCCAACAGCGGCAUCCGAGCCAGGUCUAUGCGUAGAUGUUAUAUGCACGAGUAGAACACAAAGAGUUGUGGGCGAUAAUAGUCAUACUACUUACCAGCAUGUCAUACUUUGAUUCAACGGUAUUGUUGGAUGAAGCGGCCCAGACCGACAUUACAUGACCGCGUUCAUGAGACUGGUUCUACCGCCGUGCUUCGCACACAGGUGGCUAGUGGGUGUCUGUUUCCCCAACUUUAGUUGAAUCGUGUUUGACUAUGCCCGGUCCUUGUUGAAGGUUAAAACAGCACACUUGACGAAAAUCAUUGUGGUUUUGAUGCGUACGUAAGAACGGUUCUUGCUAGAAGCCCGUAGCAGCCACGUAAAACUUGCAACAACAAAGUAGAGGACGUCUAACUUGUUUUUGCAGGGCAUGUUGUGAUGUGAUAUGGUCAAGACAUGAUGUGAUAUAAUUUGUUGUAUGAGAUGAUCAUGUUUUGUUAAGGUUAUUGGCAACUGGCAGGAGCCUUAUGGUUGUCUCUUUAUUGCGUAAGAUGCAAGCGCCAUAUAAUUGCUUUACUUUAUUGUUAUGCGAUAGCAAUAGUUGCAAAAGCAAUAGUUGGCGAGACUACCAUGUGACGACAUGUUGAUAGAGAUCAAGAUGAUGAAGAUCAUGGUGUCAUGCCGGUGACGAUGGAGAUCAUGACAGUACUUUGGAGAUGGAGAUCAAAGGCACUGGAUGAUGAUGGCCAUAUCAUGUCACAUAUUUUGACUGCAUGUGAUGAUUUAUCUUUUAUGCAUCUUAUUUUGCUCAGUACGACGGUAGCUUUAUAAGAUGAUCCCUUACUAAAAUUUCAAGGUAUAAGUGUUCUCCCUGAGUAUGCACCGUUGCGACAGUUCUUCGUGCUGAGACACCACGUGAUAAUCGGGUGUGAUAAGCUCUACAUUCACAUACAACGGGUGCAAGCCAGUUUUGCACACGCAGAAUACUCGGGUUAAACUUGACGAGCCUAGCAUAUGCAUAUAUGGCCUCGGAACACUGAGAUCGAAAGAUCGAACGUGAAUCAUAUAGUAGAUAUGAUCAACAUAGUGAUGUUCACCAUUGAAAACUAGUCCAUCUCACGUGAUGAUCGGACAUGGUUUAGUUGAUUUGGAUCAUGUGAUAAGUUAGAUGACUAGAGGGAUGUCUAUCUAAGUGGUAGUUCUUAAGUAAUAUGAUUAAUUGAACUUUAUGAACUUAGUUCUGGUAGUAUUAGCAUAUCUAUGUUAUAGAUCAAUAGCUCGCGAUGUAGCUCCCCGUUUAUUUUUGAUAUGUUCCUAGAGAAAAAUAAGUUGAAAGAUGACAGUAGCAAUGAUACGGACUUGGUCCGUGAUCUAAGGAUUAUCCUCAUUGCUGCAUAGAAGAAUUAUGUCCUUGAUGCACCGCUAGGUGAUAGACCUAUUGCAGGAGUAGAUGCAGACGUUAUGAACGUUUGACAAAGCUCGGUAUGAUGACUACUUGAUAGUUUAGUGCACCAUGAUUUACGGCUUAGAACCAGGACUUCAAAAAUGUCUUGAACGACAUGGAGCAUAUGAUAUGUUCCAAGAGUUGAAAUUUGUAUUUCAGACUCAUGCCCGUGUUAAGAGGUAUGAGACCUCUUACAAAUACUUUGCCUACAAGAUGGAGGAGAACAGCUCGACCAAUGAGCAUGUGCUCAGAAUGUCUGAGUACUACAAUCGCUUGAAUCAAGUGGGAGUUAAUCUUCCAGAUAAGAUAGUGAUUGACAGAGUUCUCUAGUCACUAUCACCAAGUUACUGGAACUUCGUGAUGAACUAUAAUAUGCAAGGGAUGACGAAAACGAUUCCCGAGCUCUUCGCGAUGUUGAAAUCAGCGAAGGUAGAAAUCAAGAAAGAGCAUCAAGUGUUGAUGGUUUACAAAACCACUAGUUUCAAGAAAAGGGCAAAGGGAAAGAAAGGGAACUUCAAGAAGAAUGGCAAGCAAGUUUCCACUCCCAUGAAGAAGCCCAAAGCUAGACCUAAGCCUGAAACUGAGUGCUUCUACUGCAAAGGAAAUGGUCGCUGGAAGUGGAACUGCCCUAGAUACUUGGCGGAUAAGAAGGUUGGCAAAGUGAACAAAACUAUAUAUCAUAUACAUGUUAUUGAUGUGUACUUUACUAGUGUUCAUAGUAGCCCCUGGGUAUUUGAUACUGGUUCAGUUGCUAAGAUUAGUAACUCAAAACAGGAGUUACAAAAUGAACAAAGACUAGUUGAGGGCAAGGUGAUGAUGUGUGUUGGAAGUGAUUCCAAGGUUGAUAAGAUCACCAUCGCACACUCCCUUUACCUUCGGGAUUAGUGUUGAACCUAAAAUAAAUGUUAUUUGGUGUUUGCGUUGAGCAUAAUAUGAUUGGAUCAUGUUUAUUGCAAUACGGUUAUUCAUUUAAGUCAAAGAAUAAUUGUUAUUCUGUUUACAUGAAUAAAACCUUCUGUGGUCAUACACCCAAGGUGAAUGGCUUAUUGAAUCUCGAUGAUAGUGAUACACAUAUUCAUAAUAUUGAUGCCAAAAGAUGCAAAGUUGAUAAUGAUAGUGCAACAUAUUUGUGGCACUGCCGUUUAGGUCAUAUUGGUGUAAAGCGCAUGAAGAAACUCCAUGCUGAUGGGAUUUUGGAAUCACUUGAUUAUGAAUCACUUGAUGCUUGUGAACCUUGCCUCAUGGGCAAGAUGACUAAGACACCGUUCUCCGGAACAAUGGAGCAAGCAACUGACUUAUUGGAAAUAAUACAUACUGGUGUAUGCGAUCCGAUGAGUGUUGAGGCUCGCCGCGGGUAUCGUUAUUUUCUGACCUUCACAAAUGAUUUGAGCAGAUAUGGGUAUAUCUACUUGAUGAAACAUAAGUAUGAAACAUUUGAAAAUUUCAAAGAAUUUCAGAGUGAAGUGGAAAAUCAUCGUAACAAGAAAAUAAAGUUUCUAUGAUCUGAUCGCGGAGAUGAGUAUUUGAGUUACGAGUUUGGUCUUCAUUUGAAACAAUGUGGAAUAGUUUCGCAACUCACGCCACCUGAAACACCACAGCGUAAUGGUGCGUCCGAACGUCAUAACCAUACUUUAUUAGAUAUGGUGCGAUCUAUGAUGUCUCUUACCGAUUUACCACUAUCGUUUUGGGGUUAUGCAUUAGAGACAGCUGCAUUCACGUUAAAUAGGGCACCAUCUAAAUCCGUUGAGACGACACCAUAUGAACUGUGGUUUGGCAAGAAACCUAAGUUGUCGUUUCUUAAAGUUUGGGGCUGCGAUGCUUAUGUGAAGAAGCUUCAACCUGAUAAGCUCGAACCCAAAUCGGAGAAAUGUGUCUUCAUAGGAUACCCAAAGGAGACUGUUGGGUACACCUUCUAUCACAGAUCCGAAGGCAAGAUAUUCGUUGCUAAGAAUGGAUCCUUUCUAGAGAAAGAGUUUCUCUCUAAAGAAGUGAGUGGGAGGAAAGUAGAACUAGAUGAGGUAAUUGUACCUGCUCCCUUAUUGGAAAGUAGUUCAUCACAGAAAUCAGUUCCUGUGACUCCUACACCAAUUGGUGAGGAAGCUAAUGAUGAUGAUCAUGAAACUUCAGAUCAAAGUUAAUACCGAACCUCGUAGGUCAACCAGAGUAAGGUACCGUACCAGAGUGGUACGGUAAUCCUGUUCUGGAGGUCAUGUUACUUGACAUGAUGAACCUACGAACAAUGAGGAAGCGAUGAUGAGCCCAGAUUCCGCAAAAUGUCUUGAGGCCAUGAAAUCUGAGAUAGGAUCCAUGUAUGAGAACAAAGUAUGGACUUUGGUUGACUUGCCCGAUGAUCGGCAAGCCAUAGAGAAUAAAAUGGAUCUUCAAUAGGAAGACGGACGCUGAUAGUAGUGUUACUAUCUACAAAGCUCGAAUUGUCGCAAAAAUGUUUUCAACAAGUUCAAGGUGUUGACUACAAUGAAAUUUUCUCACUUGUACCGAUGCUUAAAAGUCUAUCCGAAUCAUGUUAGCAAUUGCCACAUUUUAUGAAAUUUGGAAAAUGGAUGUCAAACCUGCAUUCCUUAAUGGAUUUCUUAAAGAAGAGUUGUAUAUGAUGCAACCAGAAGGUUUUGUCAAUCCUAAAGGUGCUAACGAAGUGUGCAAAGCUCCAGCGAUCCAUCUAUGGACUGGUGCAAGCAUCUCGGAGUUGGAAUAUACGUUUUGAUAAGUUGAUCAAAGUAUAUAGUUUUAUACAGACUUGCAGUGAAGCCUGUAUUUACAAGAAAGUGAGUGGGAGCACUACAGCCUUUCUGAUAAGUAUAUGUGAAUGACAUAUUGUUGAUCGGAAAUGAUGUAGAAUUUUCUGGAAAGCAUAAAAAAGAGUUUUUCAAAGAAAGACCUCGGUGAAGCUGCUUACAUAUUGAGCAUCAAGAUCUAUAGAUAUAGAUCAAGAUGCUUGAUACGUUUUUUCAAUGAGUACAUACCUUGACAAGUUUUUGAAGUAGUUCAAAAUGGAACAGUCAAAGAAGGAGUUCUUGCCUGUGUUGCAAGGUGUGAAGUUGAGUAAAGACUCAAAACCCGACCACGGCAAAAAAUAGAAAGAGAAUGAAAAGCCAUUCCUUAUGCCUCAGUCAUAGGUUCUAUAAAGUAUGCUAUGUUGUGUACCAUACCUACUCACCAUGAGUUUGGCAAGAGGGUACAAUAGUGAUCCAGGAGUGGAUCACUUGACAGCGGUCAAAAUUAUCCUUAGUGGAGUAAGGACAUAUUUCUCGGUUAUGGAGGUGACAAAAAGUUCAACGUAAAGGGUUACGUCGAUGCAAGCUUUGACACCGAUCUGGAUGACUCUGAGUCUCAAUCUGGAUACAUAUUGAAAGUGGGAGCAAUUAGCUAGAGUAGCUCCAUGCAGAGCAUUGUAGACAUAGAAAAUUUGCAAAAUACAUACGGCUCUGAAUGUGGUAGACCCGUUGACUAAACUUCUCUCACAAGCAAAACAUGAUCACACCUUAGUACUCUUUGGGUGUUAAAUCACAUAGCGAUGUGAACUAGAUUAUUGACUCUAGUAACCUUUUGUGUGUUAGUCACAUAGAGAUGUGAACUAAUCACAUAAAGAUGUGAACUAUUGGUGUUAAAUCACAUGACGAUGUGAACUAGAUUAUUGACUCUAGUGCAAGUGGGAGACUGAAGGAAAUAUGCCCUAGAGGCAAUAAUAAAGUUGUUGUUUAUAUUUCCUUAUAUCAUGAUAAAUGUUUAUUAUUCAUGCUAGAAUUGUAUUAACCGGAAACUUGAUACAUGUGUGAAUACAUAGACAAACAUAGUGUCCCUAGUAUGCCUCUACUAGACUAGCUCAUUGAUCAAAGAUGGUUAAGUUUCCUGACCAUAGACAUGUGUUGUCAUUUGAUGAACGGGAUCACAUCAUUAGAGAAUGAUGUGAUGGACAAGACCCGUCCGUUAGCUUAGCAUUAUGAUCGUUGAGUUUUAUUGCUAUUGCUUUCUUCAUGACUUAUACAUGUUCCUUUGACUAUGAGAUUAUGCAACUCCCGAAUACUGGAGGAACACCUUGUGUGCUAUCAAACGUCACAACAUAACUGGGUGAUUAUAAAGGUGCUCUACAGGUGUCUCCGAAGGAGUUUGUUGGGUUGGCAUAAAUCGAGAUUAGGAUUUGUCACUCCGAGUAUUGGAGAGAUAUCUCUGGGCCCUCUCGGUAAUGCACAUCACUAUAAGCCUUGCAAGCAAUGUGACUAAUGAGUUAGUUGCAGGAUGGUGCAUUACAGAACAAGUAAAGAGACUUGUCGGUAAUGAGAUUGAACUAGGUAUGGUGAUACUGACGAUCGAAUCUCGGGCAAGUAACAUACCGAUGACAAGGAACAACGUAUGUUGUUAUGCGGUUUGACCGAUAAAGAUCUUCGUAGAAUAUGUAGGAGCCAAUAUGAGCAUCCAGGUUCCGCUAUUGGUUAUUGACCGGAGAUGUGUCUCGGUCAUGUCUACAUGGUUCUCGAACCCGUAGGGUCCGCACGCAACGUUCGAUGAUGAUUUGUAUUAUGAGUCUGAAGGUUGUUCGAAGUCCCGAAUGAGAUCAUGGACAUGACGAGGAGUCUCAAAAUGUUCGAGACUUAAAGAUUGAUAUAUUGGAAGGCUAUAUUCGGACAUCGAAAAGGUUCCGAGUGAUUCGGGUAUUUUUUCGGAGUACCGGAGUGUUACGGGAAUUCACCGGGGGAAGUAGUGGGCCUUAAUGGGCCAUACGAGAAAGGAGAGAAGGGCCUCAAGGGGUGCCCCCCAUGGCAAGUCCGAAUUGGACUAGGGAGGGGGCGGCGCCCCCCUCUCUUUCCUUCUCCCUCUCCUACUCCAUCCCUCUCUCCCCUCUUGGAAAAGGAAGGGGACUCCAACUAGGAUUGGGAAUCCUAGUUGGACUCCCCCUAUAGGUGCGCCCCUCCUAGGUUGGCCUCCUCCUCCUCCCUCCUUUAUAUACGUGGCCAAGGGGGCACCCCAAGACACACAAGUUGAUCGUUUAGCCGUGUGCGGUGCCCCCUCCAUAGUUUUACACCUCGGUCAUAUCGUCGUAGUUCUUAGGCGAAGCCCUACGCCGGUAACUUCAUCAUCACUGUCACCACGCCGUCGUGCUGACGAAACUCUCCCUCGGCCUCAACUGGAUCAAGAGUUCGAGGGACGUCACCGAGCUGAACGUGUGCAUAACGCGGAGGUGCCGUCCGUUCGGUAUUUGGAUCGGUUGGAUCGCGAAGACGUUCGACUACAUCAACCGCGUUACUAAACGCUUCCGCUUUCGGUCUACGAGGGUACAUGGGCAUACUCUCCCCGCUCGUUGCUAUGGUUCUCCUAGAUAGAUCUUGCGUGAUCAUAGGCAAAUUUUUAAAAUACUACGUUCCCCAACAACGUUCCCCAACACUUAAUGCUCUAGAUGCAUGCUGGAUAGCGGUCGAUGUGUGGAGUAAUAGUAGUAGAUGCAGGCAGGAGUUGGUCUACUUGAGACGGACGUGAUGCCUAUAUUCAUGAUCAUUGCCUUAGAUAUCGUCAUAACUUUGCGUUUUUCUAUCAAUUGUUCCGCAGUAAUUUGUUCACCCACUGUAAUAUUUUCUAUCUUGAGGGAAGCCUCUAGUGAAACCUAUGGCCCCCGGGUCUAUUUUCCAUCAUAUAAGUUUCUAUUUUCCAUGAUAUAAGUUUCCGAUCUACAAUUUUAGUUUCCAAUUUACUUCCUUUGCAAUCCUUUACUUUCCGACCUAUAAACCGAAAAUACCAAAAAUAUUUACUUUACCGUUUGUCUAUCUCUAUCAGAUCUCACUUUUGCAAGUAACCGUGAAGGGAUUGACAACCCCUUUAUCGCGUUGGGUGCAAGUUGUUUGAUUGUUUGUGCAGGUAUUCGGUGACUUGUUUGUUGUCUCCUACUGGAUUGAUACCUUGGUUCUCAAACUGAGGGAAAUACUUACUCUACUUUGUUGCAUCACCCUUUCCUCUUCAAGGGAAAAACCAACGCAAGCUCAGGAAAUUGCACCCAGUGCGACCACCAAUUUCGGCAGGCGGUGACCAUAGUCGAAGCGUCAUGUUGCAUGUUCCAGCCUAUGGUCACCACAAUCGCAUCCGCCAAACUGCUAGUUCUGGCAUCAACUCAAAUGGUCGCCGAUGCCUCCGCCCACCGCACCUCCGGUUGUGACACGUCAUGCGUCAGCCCCGCAAUGCGUUAGUUUUAGCACCAGGGGAUGCUGCUCGACGCAAGCCGCAUCAGCGGUUGUAGCCAUAGGCUUCCGCCCCUUGGCAGCUAGCGGUGGUGUCAUCCCCAGCUUGGCGUAGCUAUCAUCGCUGACGACCGGCAGCUAGCCCUGACCCCCGCCUCCUCCCUCUCCAAUCUAUACGCAGGAGCAGGGUAAAGAGGGAGGUGGGAACAACCUUGCAUCGCAGUAGCGUCCCACGUCGUCGACGGUCGGCCGGCCUGGGCUGCCAACCCCUUGGAACAAGAAGGAGGUGAGAGGCGAAGAGAGGAGAGAUGGAGGAAACAGGUGGAGGAGGCCGCCUCCCGGAGAAAAGAAAAGGAACUCGACAUUUCGAUCAGCGGGCCCCGCCAGCCACGUGGCACCUGCGCAUAGUGGUCGAGCAUGAAUCGUUGCGCGAUUCGGAGGGCGCGCGUGCGGCCGGGACGGCGCUUCCGCCAGUUGGCCGACAUAGACCGUUAUCCUUUUACAUGGCGCCCUCGUUUUGCAUGAUUUAACUUUGAUCAUAUUUUAAUUAACAAUAUAAGUAAUAUAUGUCAUAAAAAUUAUAUCAUUGAAUUCGAUGAUAUAAUUUCUUUAUAAAAUAUAACCUACAUUUAUCAGUCGAUGGUAAUACUUUUAUUAGUGUCUCUCUCCCUUCUCGAUAGUUAACUCAAUAACUAAUCAUUAAUUUCAAAAUUUAUCCAUCAAAAUACAUCUUGCCAUCACAAUGUGGUAUUUCCUAUCGGAGCAAACCAGAUUUUUCUGAAAAGGAGGUUCACCUCUGACCUCUAAACAUCAGUGAUGCACACGACCACAUAUUAUUUAUUAUAAAAAAGAAUGCUAAGCAAGGCCAAAUAUUGAUCCAAAAUAAACCAGCAUAAAAAAAGCAUUCUUUCGGUACAUUUCCAUUUACGUACAAAGUUUACAAAUGUUCAAUGUAGUUCAAUGGGUGAGAUUAAAGCACACCCUCUACUUAUCAAAGGAAGUAUAAUCAUCUUGACAAAAAAAUCUACUCAUUAGCACGUUCAAAAUAAUGACCUUUAUCUAAUCAUUAGCACGGCUUUCAGUAAAGAGUUGUUUACCCUCAAAAAGUAAAGAGUUGUUUACCAUCUAAAAAAAAGAUUUGUUUAACAUAUCCUUAGCCAGGGUCCAUUACCGUCUGCAUACUUUCUCCGUGAUGGGUGAGUGUGGAAUUUGUGUGGGGCCGGAAUUUGUGCAGGACCGUAUAGUAUAUCUGUGCGCUCUUCAAAGUAGGAGUACUACUACAAUUCCGAAGUGCAGAAGUGGCACAUGCAGCGGAGCAUAUGAAGGCGUACAAUAACGGUAGUAGUGCAGAAGUGGCACAUAGUACUUCCCCAAAAUGUGGUGCAGAGCAUAUGGAAGCACAGUGGUAGUAGGAGUAGCAGGCUACAUAUGGUACGACAGGACGGCUGCGUGUAAAGACGGAGCAAAAGUAGGCAGCCACCGACCAGAGAGCCCGCUUGUGGCCAGAAGACUGCUCUGCGCGAUGCGCGGGCCGCGGGGCCAGUUGGUCCCGGCCCCGGAGUCGCUACGCAUGCGACGCAACUGUCCUGUUGACAAGACUUAAGUAGUGAGUUCAGUCAUUUCCCCAUUAUUUCCCUCUCAGCGCAAGGUGCUGUGCUUUGGAGCAACUCCAACGUGGCGACCUGAACGAGAGCGUUUUGUCCGUUUUUCGUCCGGUUAGGUCGGUCUAGCGGACGUGCAUGUUCGCAUUUUUGAUGGAUCGAUUUGACCGCUCAACGAAAGGCGGAUACAAAUAUGCCCGCAUAGAAAAAAAUAAGUCACAGAAAUAAACAUAAUUAAACAUUAAAGUUGCCGGUCAAUCGCCGGCCAAAGUGCACUUAAACCUAAUUAAACAUUAAUUAAAAACAUAAAAAAGUCUGCGCCCGCACGCUGCCCUAGACGUCAUCCGCCUUGCCUUUGUCCUUGACGUCACCAUCGUCGCCCGUGAGGUCGAUGAAGACGGGAGCAGGGCCCUCCCACCGGAACGCCGCUUGGUACGCUGCGAGGGCAGCCUCCUCCGGCGUCUGCUGGGGCGCCGGCAUUGCAGCUCGCCGGGCGCGCUCCUCCUCCUCCUCAAACCGCAGUGCCUCCGCGUCGCGGCGCAGCUGCUGCUCCCACAACAUUUGCCGCUUGUCGUCGGCCUCCUCCUGGGCGAGCCAGUGCGCCUUCCAGCGCUCAAGGUGGGCCGCCUCCUCCUCCAGCGUCGCGGCGUAGUGGACCGGAGGCGCGCUCACCCACUCACGGUACUCGCUGGUCCACGUGUAGGCCUCCUCCGGCCAAGUGGGUGGAGGCGGGGAGCGCUUUCGUGUCGGCUCCGGAUCCAGCUUGGGCUCGACGAUGGGCGGCGGCGGUGGCGAAGGCGGGACGAAGAGCGGGGUGUGGACGGAGUCCCCCGCCGCCGACAAGGCAAGGGCUUGCUCCAGUCCAUCCCAAUGCGCGUCCUCCUCGAGCCGGCUAGCCUCCAGCGCGUGCUGCAGGGCCUCCUCGAGGGCGGCUUGGUACUCCGCCUCCGCCUCCAUUUCCUCCGGCUCUACCCGCGGGGGCGGCGAUGGAAACUGCAGGUUGGCGUCGACGCCUAGCCGCCGUUGCUCCUCGUGUUCGAGGGCAAACCAGGCCUCCCAGUUGGGAGAGUCGGCGGCGUACUCGGGCAUAUGCCGCUGCGCCGGCGUGAGCUGCGCCCGGCGCCUUCGCGCCUCCUCGUCGUGCGCGCGUUGUGUCUGCAAAACCGCCGGCACCGGGAUUCGAUGUGGAUCGAGGUGCCAGUGGUGCGGCAGCGUCACGUCGGGGUAAGGCAGCGGUUGCCUGUACUCCCAGUGCCACCGCGCUUGAUGCACCGGGAUGUGCAGACGCCGCUGACCUGACCGGUCACGCGCCGGCCGCAAAGAAGGAGGGGUAGGAGGAGCACGGGAGGAUGAGGCGCCGGGGGUCAGCUUGCCCUUGCCGCUGCCGGAGCUGCUGCCGAAGAGGCCCAUUGCUAGGGUUUGGGGUGUCCCGGCGAGGAAGCAAGAAGGAGGUUGCGGUGCAGAUGUGGACGGAAGUGGAUGAGGCCGCCCCCCACCGCACGCGUGGGUUAAAAAAGGACGUUUUCACUGGCUGACUAGUGGGCCCGGUGCCGGUGGCCGUCAUAAAUUAGACGACGGGCGGUAGUUGGGUGGCCGACAAGUGGGACCACGACAGACACCGAGGAGACGCGUGGCGCGGACGCGAAGCAUUUCAGGCGCAAUUUUGGGCCGGAAAUGGGUCGGCGCGAAUGCGAAGCGGAUGGCUUUUGGGAAUGGGUCGGCGCGUUGGGCCGGUGUUUCUAUCCGCGCUGACCCAAACGAACAUGGGCGGACGAAAUGAGUCGCUUUGUUGGAGUUGCUCUUAGUACUUUCUUUUCACAGGCAAGAUGCGUCCUGCGUUAGAGCAACUCCAAUGGUGCAGUACUCUUGAAAAACUUUGUUUUACCACUCUGGAUUUUGAUCACUUUGCUUAUGCCAUUCUAGAUUUUAACCAUUUUGCUUAUGCCACUUUAGAAUUUGGCAUUUCACGUUUGCCGCUCUUAGUUUUGGACCCGCUUGAAUGUUAGUGAUGAAAGACAUGGUAACUCGCUGCAGGUGCUCCAUUUUAUGUUUGCAGGAGUCGAAGCCGGAGCGAUUAUCUGAGGCAAUACGAGCUGAGUUGCCCGGCCCGAGCAGGGGCGGAGCGAUUACCAAGUCUAGUUGAUAAAAGAAUCGGUCUACGGCCAAUUAUCAUACUAUUGUAAUAAUGUGCCACUUUGGCGCUAUGAGACAUGCUUACAUUUGUAUUAGUUUGAAAUUGCUGAUUACCAAUAAGAUACAAUAAAUAAGAUACCAGUAAUUUUGUCAAAGGAGGACUUAGCUGCUAAUUCACUUCCAAUCUAGAUGAUAUCAUGCAGUACCGGAGAAAGUCGCAUUCCCUUUUACUCUGAAUUAAUUUUGACGGUGUUUAGUUGCGCUUUCUCUUCAUAACUGCAAGCACCGGGAGUGGUCCUAUGAGUGCCAACUUCCUCCAUCUCCAAGUGAUGAUCAUGGGUUGAGACAUCUAUACAAAAAAGGACCAACACCACUCAUUUUGAUACAGAGUUAAACGCAUAUUGCAAAAUCUAGAAAAAUGCAAUAACAUUCAAUUCCAUCACCAGCUCAGCUUCACAUUUAUUAUUCUCAACUAUCAUAUUAAAAAUAUCAAACAAAUUGAAAGAACUAAACAAAUUCAAUAACAAACAACGAAGGAAGGGUUGCUUGGCUGAGCUAAAACCAAAGUAAGUGAGCUACACGGGAACGGGGAAGGCGCUACUUGGCUGGGCUAAAACCAAAGUAAAUGGGCCACACUGGAACAGGGAAGGGGAUGUUAUUCGGAGUACGAGCUAUUCAUGUUGUUUCUGAAUGUUUGUGAAUUCAGAAAGUUGUUUGUGAAUAAAAAAAUGUUCAUGCAUUCGACAAAUGUUCACGAAUUCAAAAAAGAUGUUCCGGCACUCCAGAAAUGUCCGUGAUCUAAAAAAUGUUUGCGAAUACAGAAAAUGUUCACAAAUUUCCAGUGAAUAGGAUUUCCAGUGCGCUAGUUCCAUCCGCACACAACGAAGGCCUAAAAAAAGCAGAACCAGAAAAGCCCAACUACGACCAGACGACCACGAGGCCUACAAAGACUGAGGUAAUUAGGAGCGGCAGAUCCUAUUUCUCGUACAGGACGUUGGAUAGUCAGGUACCUCGUACACCAGAAGCACUAGUGCAUUACAAGGGCUUUUGCGAGCCUUUCUUCCAUCGGUUUUAGGACGGACCUCCCUUGAAUAGGUUUUUUCUACUAUUUUUUUGAUAACUAUCUGGGUUCAUCAGCUGUAGUUUUUGAUGGACUAGUUGAUCCGACUAUUUUGGAGGCGCAUGCUUGUUGCGAGGCCAUUGCUCUGGCACAAGAUUUGAACAUUCGGAAUUUGGUUGUUGCCUUGGCUGCCUCGAGGUCGUCACAAACAUAAGGGAGCUUCGCCUUCAUGCGCACAUGCCCUGAACAUUAUUAAACUUAGUAUUAGUAAUUUCGCUUUCACAUAUUUCCAAUUUGAGUUUGGAGAAAAUAAUUUUGAAGCCCACUCUCUAGCAAAAGAAGAUGUGUCUCUGGAGGUGGGUCGCCAUCUGUGGCUAGGGGUUCUGCCGGAUAUUGCUUGUAUUCCGCUCGUUAUGAUUUUCGAAGAAACCCUGGUUACCCUAAAAAAAUACUUUUUUAUCUCUCCUUUUACUGUUUUCAUUUUUUACUUCCAUGAACACUUUUUUAGAAGUUCGAAAUUUGUGAGCAUUUUUAUAAUUCAUGUACAUUUUUUCAAAUGGUAAUAUUUUAUAAAAUAUCUGACCAUCUUUUUUGAAAUUUUUAUCAAUUUUUAUUUCAUGAUUUCUUCGAAGUCUGGUAUUAUUCAGAUUUAUGCAGAAUUUUGAAUUCUGGAAUAUAACUGGGGAUAAUUUCUGAAAUUUAGGGAUAAUUUUUCUGAAAUAUGAGAACAAUUUUCAAAUAUAUGAUCAAUUUUUUUAAAGGAUCAAUUUUCAAAUUCAUUAAUGGUUUUAAUUGUGCAUGGACAAUUUUUUCAUUUCUGAUGGACAUAGGUUUGAAAAUUGAGAACAACUUUCAAAUUCAUGAAGAUCUUUUGAAAUCCAGGAACAACUUUUAAAAUUCAUGAACACUUUUUUAAUAUGGAAUAAUUUCCAAAUUCGUGAUUAUUAUUUUUCAUUUCAGAAUAUUUUUUACUCCUGUAGUAUUUUUCAAAUUCAUCAACAUUUUUUGUAAUUUGAUUUUUUUUAAAUACUGAAAAAUUUUAAAAUUCAAAAUUUCUUAGUAGUCCCGGAAGUAAUAACUAACCAGAAGAUUUUUCAUGAUUCACUCACUAACCAGAAGCAAGGCAAUAACUAUUCAGCAGCCCCUCAAUACUAGACUUAAAAAGCAGCAGGUUGUCAACCAAGAACAAUAGGUGGUUGACCACCGGGUCAGUCGGAGCCACUUUUAUUCCACUAAGAUGCGAUGACUACGAACUGAAUUUUAAAAGGCACAAAAGACCCUCCGCUGCAAUUAAGAAAAGAUAAGGGGAAAUUGGGGCUCCUUGUUGAAUACCUCUUGUAGGUUUGAAGAGGUCUCUCUCAUUUAACAACACUGAAAAAGAAACUAAUUUGAUCAUAUUCAUCACCACAUUUAUCCAAGAUGUCGCAAAACCAAGCUUAACCAUAAUAGGAUGCAAAUAGUCCCACUCGAGUCUAUCAUAGGCUUUGAUCAUGUCGAGUUUGAGAGCACAAAAUCUAUUUGUCUUGAACUUGCUUCACUUCUUAAAAAGCAAACAUUCAUAUGCACUAAUAAUAUUAUCUACAAUUAGUCUACUAGGCACAAAAGUUGGCUGUUUCUCUGAAAUAAUAUCAGGAAUGAUUUGCUUCAAACGGUUUUGCCACUAACUUUGAUGCAAGUUUGUAGAGAACGUUGGAAAGGCUUAGGGGUCUAAAUUGUGCCAGAAGUGUGGGAUUCAUUACCUUGGGGAUUAGAACUAGGAUUAUUUUCAUUUAUAUUCUUGAGAUUCUCCUCCCCUCUCACAAUGCACAAGACUACCCUAGUUACUUCAUCGCCGCAAAUGUCCCCGUGUCGCUGGUAAAAAUGAGCUGGGAAGCCAUCUGGUCUGAGUGAUUUAGUUGGGAACAUCUAGAAAAGGAGAGCCCUUUUAACCUCCUCUACCAUAUAUGUGAGGUAUUGUCACAUGCGGCACGACUGUUGGGUCGGCCCAUAUAUCCCAUGCUAUACACAAGCGCGAAUUGUAGCUCGCAUUAAGUGGGGCAUAUCCAUUCUUCUAUGUCUCGCCUAUUGCAAGACGAUAGCUCGUCUCGCCUCUAGCACAUGCGCUACGAGACGGGCAUAACGUGUGUUUAUGUAGCUCCUCCGAGCGGUUUUCAAAAGAUUUUAUGGACCUAUUUGAAUCGGUUUUGGAAGCUUCGUUGUGGUUUUCCAUUAUUAUUUUUCUAAGUCUUUUCUAUAUCAAUUUUCACUAUUUUAUUUUAUUUUUGUUUUCUGGCUUUUCUUCAUUUCUCAAAUAUAAGCGGAUCGUUUCAGAUACACGUUGAACAUUUUCAUAUACAGGUUGAACAUUUUUCCAAAAUACACAUUGAUUAUUUGUUGAAUGCAUAUUCGACAUUUUUUAAUACAGGGUGACAUUUUUAACACACAUUGAAUAAUUUUCAUCAAUGCAAUGAACAUAUUUUUGAAUGUGCAUAGAUUUUUUAUGUGCAUAUAUUUUUGAAAUGGUGCAAAUAAUUUUUAUAAAAUCAUGCAAACAUUGUUUUUACGUUUUAUAAAGAUUUUUUGAAAAUCUCACGAACAUAUUUAUGAAAUGCAUGAACAUUUUCCUGUGUUUCUCUCUCCGGGUUUCUCCCUUUUUUUUCAUUUUUCCUUUUUUCUGUGUGUGUUUUUUUCUUCGUUUUUUGUUGGAUUUUUUAAUUUAUCUUUUAUAACAAAUGUCUAGUUUUCUCAACACAUGCAGUACAUUUUUAUUAUAAAUCUGAAACAAUUUUCUUGAUACAAGUUGAACAUUUUUUGAAUACGUGAUUGUUUCAAAAUACAUGGUUUGAAUAUUUUUUCCAGUGGGUUGUUAAACUUUUUCAAAUACACAUUGAAACAUUCUUUUGAAUGAUACACAACAUUUUUAUUAAAAAAUACACGAACAUUUCCUUUCAUUGUAUAAACAUUUUAUGAAAAAUACCAAGAUCCUAUUUUGAAAUGUGUGAUUUUUUAAACAUGUAACGUACAUGUUUUGAUUGGUACGUAUAUUUUUUUAAACAAAAAAAUAUUUUAGGGCAUUGCACCAAUAUUUUUAGAAAAUAUCAUUUACUUUUUAAAUGCAUGAACAUUUAUUUUAAAUGUUACAUUUUUUAAUGUUUCGAAACUUUUUUUACUUAAAAAAAGAUUUUCGUCCUUAUAUAAUUUUUUAAUAUCAUGAAUAUUUUUCGAAAGGCGUGGACAUUCUUAAAACGUCACACACAUUUCCUUUAAGGCUAUCAAUGUUUUUUUAGAUUACGCACCCAUUUUAUACAUUGGAUAAAUAUUCUUUUAAACAUGUGAUGAUUGUUUUUGAUAACUUUAGAAAUUAUUUUUCCAUUUUUUAAAUAUAAGUAAAAUUAAAAAGUACUCCCUCCAUCCCAUAAUGUAAGACGUUCUUUGACACUAGUGGUGUAAAAAAUCGUCUGACAUUUUUUACACUAGUGGUGUCAAAAAUCGUGUUACAUUAUGGGAUGGGGGGAGUAUGUGCCCUGGAUAUUCAGCGCUGGGCGGCGCUUUUAGGGGCCGCCUUAGGCGAGCGCCACGUUUAGCUCGUAGCAGGCGAGACAUAUCCAUUUCUCAAAAAAAAAAAGGCGAGACAUAUCCCUUCCCGUACUUGCAUUGCUGACCCAACUCAAAAAAAAAAUUGCAUCGCUGACGUCCCCAAAAACCAACUUACGUAGCUGACGUCUGCCCAUCUCAAUCGACUGAGAUGAAGCUCAAGUCGCUCCCUAAUUUGAAAGGGUCAAAAAAGAAAAGGUUUGCCUCCGAAGAGGAAGCGCAAUUACACACUGCAAUCAGAUAUAGAAAUAGAACUGCCUUCGUCAGAUACGAAUCGUCCUGCAGCUAGCUGCAGGUGUCAACACGUUGUCAAGGAUGACAAGUCGCUGCUGCCUCUGCGCACCACCUCGGUUUUGAUCGUGGGCGCACAGCCAGCAGGCGUGGGAGUUCAUGCUGCAAAGUAUAAGUUCAGAUCAGGGGACGGACGGUUGGUUUCGGCCUUCUGUGAAGAGCUGCUGUUGCUACCCGCGGUUCACGUCGGAGGCAUCUGCAAUUUCUUUUGUAGUAUAGCAGUUGGGCAGGCAUUGGAGCACUUCCCUGUAAACUGGUGAGCAGUCCAUUGUGAGUGGAGCCGCGUUGGGUAUAGAGUAUAGACAGUACUGGCAGCUUGGACUGAUCUGCACAAGCUGUUCAAUUCUAUCGCAAAGUCCAAACGGGAGCCAGUAACUAAAUCGUUGCAACGAGCCAAGAACUGCCCUCGCAGAAAAAAAAUCGGAGCCUACUACUGCUUUCAGUGAGCUGGAGGGGAAGUUGAAGGGAGUAAACAGAAGAUUUUGUUUGGGGAGGAAGGACAAAAAACUCAGGGGCAUUCCGAGAAUUGAACUCGGGACCUCUCGCACCCUAAGCGAGAAUCAUACCACUAGACCAAAUGCCCUAUGGUGUCUAUUUUUACUGUGUAACCUUAUUAGAAGAGAGAAGCACGGUGUCAACUACGUACAAUGUUAGUACAUUACUUCUUCUUUGGAAAAGACACAUCGAUUAAUUACCGGUGUUGUCAGCAAAAGCAGUUCGUAUAUGUGUGCAAUGCCUUUGAUCUUUGUGCAACCCUGCAUGGGCUUGACCUACAGGUUUUUGUGAUCCCUUGAGUGAUUAAUUAGCAGAAGAGCUAAGAUCGUGGUCUUUCCGCUCUUUGUCUCUUUUGCUCCUUAAGGGAGCGUAGACUGUGUGCUGUUUUCAUUUUGCUGAGGCAGCGUUUCUGCUGUUUUUUUCCCGCGCGCCUUGUAGCUCCAAAACAAAACAUGUUCGGUGGUUUCGUUGCAUGCAAUGGAACCGGGGCGUUCGAGCCCUUUUCUUCUAAAAAAAGAGCUAAGAUCGUGAAGAGCAUCACCAAGUUUGAUUUUCACGCUCUUUAAAGGAAAAAAAGUGCAUUUAUGCAAUACGUAGCUCAUCUUAAUGUAUAUAUAAUCCCCCUCAGGGUUCAGGCCUCAACAGAAAGACUAAUGCCGCGCGUAAAUCACUGCAUGCCAACUAUAAGAAAAAUAGACAUACACAGCGAUCAAGCUAUAGAUCACCGUAUCUCCGGUGGAUUAAAUACGGCACGCUUUAAUUUCUUCGAGCAGAAGUGGCUCGCAUGUACACGACGGGGAAGAUGGAACCACAUAUGUGCAGUCCAGCUAGCUAGUGAUCAGUCAAGCACCAGGAUAUCUUGCAUUUCUGCAUAUAUCUUUCUGUCAAUUCAAACGCCUAAUGCAUUAGUUAACCAGCUGCUCUUGUCAAUCACAGCUUGCAGCACCAGCUAAAGCGAAUCAACAAACAAAUCAAUUUCAUAUCUCAUGGGUGCACCGGUUAUUACAAUUAAUGUACAGCAAGAACUGCAAACAAGGUAAAAAAAAUCAAAAUCAAACACAUAAAAUCAAUACUGCAGGAACCUAGACUAAUAAUUUACAGCUUGCCAAACCAGCCUAGACAACACCGGGCCAAUUUGAUCAUCUCGUGUGUGAGGCGAGCGAGCGAGCAUGCGUGUUCAUCAUGCAGAAACCCUAAUGCGCAGUAUUGAGUUGGUAAGACUUCUGACCAUGUCGCCAUCGGUUGAGGGUUGACCCGAUCAUUGCUGCUGAGACGAGAGCGGCCCGAAGAUGUCGAGGAAGCCGGACGGCGAGCCGAGCGCCGACGCGCCGCCGGGGCUCAAGAAAUGGUCGCUGGUCUGGUGCAGCCACGGGGAGACCAUGGGCGCCUCGCCCUUGAGCGCCCCGCCGCGGAGCGGGCUGAGGUCGUGGAACAGGAACCCCGUCGUCGGCGACGGCGACGGCCCCGCCCACGAUGGCGGCACGUUCUGCUGCUGCUGCUGCCUCGUGGCCGUCACCGAGACGGACACCGCGGGGCCGGGCCGGUUCAGGGCGCGGGCCUUGACGCGCACCGGCUGCGCCGCCCUCCCAGCCCUGUCCCCCGCGAUCCUGGGGGAGGACGACGACGUCGACGCCCUCUCCCGCCCGUCCUCCCCGGCGACCUCCGGGCCGGUGAGCCGCUGCACGAGCGACAUGAACUCGUGGGCCUCCACGUGGAUCACCUUGGGGGACACCAUGUAGAUGUCUAGAUGAUGACCGGCUUCCGGUUCUGCUGCUGCGCCUGCGACGACGGCGUCGGCUUGCUGAUCUUUCGCGACGCGCCGUGCACGCCGAGGGCCCUGUGCCGGACGUCGGCGUUGUCGUAGCUCGUGGUGGUGGCCAUGGGGGUGGAACAGACGAGCGCGCACGGGCCGGCGACGACGACGGACGGACAGCUACGUACCGGCGGGGGGUAAUGGAUAGGUGCGACUUUGCGGCAGGCAGGCAGGCAGACGCGGAUGAUUUGAGGGGGACAGCAAGAGGUUAAACGUACAGAUCUUCUAUCAUCCGUGGGGGCAGAAUGGCUUAUAUAGCCAUGGACAGCGUCCUCGCCUCCGGGCGUUUUAAAGGCCAAAAUCGAAUGAGACAAGAGUGGUGCGGCGUGGCACGUGCCUCGUGUUCCAUCCUGUGUGGUCGCCUCUCUCCGCAGCCCUAGUUGUGCUCUAUCGUCGACACAUGCAUCAUCUCUUUUUUUUUUACUGCUCGAACAAUCCCAUUUGAAGUGCGAGAUACCCCGGUUUUAUUUACUGACAAAUAUGAUGUUUGGUAGCCACCACACGUUGCCUAUUGUUCAGGUCAAUUUUUCAUUCUUCUUCAAAUUUUACUCUUUUGAAUAGUUUGGAUUGCUUACCACAUGUGUCAUGUUGUUCUUCAAAUUUUACUCCACGGUGUGGUCUCCCUUUGAUUCACAUGGAUGGAUGAAGGACUAGAGGAUAUUUUUCUCCCAUCUCAGCUUCAAGACAAAAUCUACUCACACCAUCUGUUGGAAAAGGCAACGCUUAAGGAGGUGCUUAAGCGUCACCAAGUUGCUACAUAUGUGUUUUUUCCUUAAGGGUGAAAUCUUGUAUGUUUUUGUUCUCUCAGCAGUUUGGUAGGAAAUCUAGAAUGUGCACAACAAAGUAGCCUUUUUGACGAAAUCCUGAUCAAAAGUGCAUUUGAGAUUAUGCUCUUUGCAUGUUUGUAUCUACUAUGUUGGACAAAUAUUGGGAAGCGAGAAGAUAUGGAUGCCUUGCAGCAAGGUGAUGACAUGAUCCUUUCAAAUGUUGUGAACAUGAUUGAGCCGACCAACGGAAGGACGACCGGGCAAGGCAAGGUAGAGUGCUCCGGGCCACCAAACCGCCCGAAAAACUGAUUUAAAAACCCAACUCGACGGCCCCUCGCCAUUUUCAUAUGCUUGCCGUCCACGUCGGCUGAGCAAGCAGAGGAGAGGUGCCCCGUUGAUGAUGGAUUGGACGUAGACGCGGGGCACUUCACCUCGCGCCAUUGGCUCCCUGGACCGCCACAAAGUCAGCUCGCACAUGGCGACGACUAAGGGAUCCAGUGCCGAUCGAGCAGCUAGCUGUGGUUAUCCCAGUGGCGGAUUGCAAGUUGAAACAUGCGUGCGCAUAGUUGUUUUUGCAGCAGGACUGCCGGCCGGCCAGCCGGCGAUGGCUCGCGCACGGCGACGUGGCGCGCGUGAACUCGUGGGCGCGCGCGCGCGCUGGGGUUUAUUGUGCUGGCGGGGCCGGGAUGCCAUUGUGACGUGCACGUAGCGAAGGGCGCGCGGGGGGUACGAUGUUUCGUACGGCGGGGUUUUCUGUCGGUCAAGCACACGAUCGGAGACUGCAUGCGCGCGCGGCGAGGGAUGACGGCUUGACUUGACGGCGGAAGAGACGAGGGAAGAAUUUCGGAGUACGAGCUAGCGCAUGCAUGCAUGGCGAGAUUUGAACACGUUUUUUCGCUUGCAUUGCCUGCGACGGCAUUCCGCUUCCUAGCUAGCACUACUAUUUAAUUGUCCCUAGAUCGAUGGUGUCGAAGCUUGGACAAGAUAGGGGUGUUUGAUUAGGUUAGGUGGAUUUAUGGCCCAAUCGUAGCCAAGAUAUCAACAAGUAAAACGCUUGACACGGUAGGUAUCCUCUUUUAAAACGAUAUGAAAUGACACAUUUGACGUAUACACCACGGAUGGCUUGACCUUCGAAAGAACCACGCACCUACGGACGUGUUAAGACGUGUAAUAUAUACCGUGCGUCAACGUCACAGAUGAUGAGUGUGGUUCUGAUCGAUUUACCACCCAAAAAAAGCCAAGGCGCUUUUGGGCACCUUCGGGGGGUGCUUCAAUCUGUACGCGCGUACCCUACGGGCGGGCGGCUUCGUCGCCAGGGAGACCAUCGGCAGGUAGAAAGCGCGACGUAGCACGUCUCUCUCACGGCCGCCGCCAUGGCGCGCAUUUCUCUUCCCCCACCAUCAUCCGAUAUUGUAAAUGAUUCUAUCAGCGGCAGGGCUGUUGCAAACUUGUAGUAGUAGCAAUUGUUUCUGAGCUAGGCGCACAUAUGAUACGCCGUACGUCUCUUUCCCCCGGUUUGACAUGGCGGGGGCAGCAGGGGGCGUGGGGCGUGACCCGAUUCGGCUAAGCGCGCGAGCACACAAUCGAAGCCGUGCAAGAAAGCGUUGUGCGCACCAGGGAUAGAUGGGCGGGGAGGGAGGGAGGAAGCCGGGUCGCGAUGGGGUUAGCACGUUGAAAUUGAUUAAUCAUUAACUAAUAUAAUCGCUUUUGAAGGGUUCCAGGAAGAUACCAGUAGGCGCUUUCUAUUUUGAAAAAGAGGUGGCAGUGAAAUGAAUCGUCUUCGCCCGGAGGCUGAGGUGGCCUUUCCGGUUUGGGUAAAGCUCCAAAGGGAUCCGCGAGGUUUCGCACACAGAAUCAGAAUGCGACGGGGGGUAGCAUCCACAAUAGAACUUGUUCGAGAACGUACCCGGGGUCGGACGAGGCAUUCGGGGUCAAUCCACCCCGGUGACUUUUGCCAACUGCUGCAUAUUUUCUUUUGGAAAAAAAAUACUACUACGUGACGCCUGCAGUUUUUACACGAAGCCUUUUCUUUUCUUCCUGCGGGUGUUUUUUCUUCCCGCAGCUUCUUGCAGGUGUGCUUACAAAAUGCUUUUUUUUUUGCGGGGGGAAAUGCUUACAAAAGGCUUUCAACCUGCUACCUGACAUUUAGGCCGCGCACCACGACAAUUCUUUAGUCGUAACAUGACAAUCUCUAUCUUAUAGCAUGGCAGUUCUCUAUGUUGUGACAUGGUAAUUUUCUGGACAUGUGUGGCAGUUUCCUCUUCUGUACCAUGGCAAUCCUCUUAUUUCUAGCAUGACAAUUCCUGAACAUAUGGGCAUGGCAACUUUUCUCUGCUCAACAUUUGUCAUGACCUAAUACCUAUAGCCUGGCAAUUCUCUUCGUACACAGUAUGGAAAAAACCUGAACAUAUGGCAAGUUUCUCUGGUUGCAGAAUGGCGACUCUCUGUGUGAAACAUAGAGCAUCCAAGCAACAACAUGUAUAGAGCAUAGUUCAUCAUCACUGCACGGUUCACCUAAAAGCGACCAUUUACGUAACUAGAGAAGGGUGUUUAGUCACGACUAAAUUCUGAGGUUGCAUAUCAAAGUUUCAGACUUCCAGUCAACUACUACAGGUGUAGCAAGCAUAGAAACUCAACUGGAAAUAAGGUUCCCUUAGACUACCAGUGAAUGGAUAGCUUGGAGCUGUCAACUGUCCGUCAAGAAAAUCAUGGAAUACAAACUACACCUUGCAAUGGGAGAAAAUAGAUAGCUGACAACGAAGCUUAUUAGCCUUGGCGUUGCAAUUUUUGUAUGCACAGAUAUCUCUGGGUUACACGAGUAAAAGCAAAUGAUUGUACAGAAAGAUACUCCCUCCAUCCCAAAAUUCUUGUGUUAGAUUGGUCUAGAUACGGAUGUAUCUAAUACUAAAACGUGACUUGAUACAUCCGUAUUUAGACAAAUCUAAGACAAGAAUUUUGGGACGGAGGGAGUAAUAUACUUCUAAUGCACAUGCAAAUCAAAUGAUAUCAGAAAUCAUAAAGUCGAUACUGGUCAACCCCCAUAUCCUUGGAGAUGCAGAAUUGAAGAUCAAGGGGUCCCAAGACUUGACCUGGGCCCCGAAGGGGGCUUAUUUCACUUCCAAGUCCAUUUUAGUUUCAUUCCUGAGAAACAAAUAUUCGAACUGCAAAUACGGUUUAGGGCGAAAUCUCGAUGGCGGUAAGCUGAAAAGAACAGGCAAACGACCAGACCUUGCCUUUCCUAAGAAAUGCUUAAUGCUACCAUGUGCAGACUUCUAUAUAAUUUGUUGAGCUUAUCCUGACAUAUCCAAAACGUUCUGCUGCCUGAAGAACACUGGUUUUGUUUUUUGGCUUCUAUAUUAUACACAACAAAAUAAAUUGGAAAAAAAUAUUCUACCAGGGUAAGUUAUAAAAGAGUUUUUAACUUCUGAUACAUUAUCGCUGGCACAGCCCCAGCCUCCAUUGAGUUGACAAAUGAUAGAUGGAACUUUAUAAAAUUAUGUUGACACAAUAAUAGAGGGAUAGAAAUAUAAGAAACCUCUACAAGACCAAGUGUUACACAACUCUGUUUAAUAUCAAGUCCUAAAUGUCUUUAGCAUGAUGACACUUAAUGUAGUUUGAGGUCAACCAAUAUUACAGUAUAACUUCGCUGCCACCACCUUUUUAUUUAAAUAAGGCUUCUCUUCUCUUUUUCCAAGAGUCAUUUUCCACGCUUUUCAAAGUAUGAUGAUAGAUGAAGAUAAGCAAAAGUACAUAAUCCAUGUCAUCCAUGGCACAGUUGCGAAUUGUGGUACAGGCAAGGAUGUUCUGUCAAGAUACCCUAGGUGAAGGCUAAGUGUACUAUUGGACAUUAAGCCUUUCCAGCUGAAGUUUCACUCUGAAUCUGUGCUGUCUGAAAUAUCAAACCCUAACUCUUGCUAGUUCAGUUCGUGUUUUACGAGAAAUAGUUGCUCCAAUUCACGACUGGCAUAAAUGUUCUACACAUUAACAGAUAAUGGAGUAACAAAAGAAGAACCGGUACUGGUUGUCACUUGUCAAGUCUUAGCCAACAAAAAAUCCAUUUUGUGGCAGCAUAGUUUUUCAUAUUUUGGUUGGGGUGGAAGUUGGCACUGAAUUAAAACAUCCAAUAUCCACCUAGAGGAAAAAAAGAGGAACAUCCCCUUCCAUGAAGAACUAAGAGUUGUCUCCUAAGAUUCUUCCUAUUUGCUUAAACAGCUCAUAGGAUCACAAGAACCAAGCAUCUCAUAGUAAAAAGCCCGUCCACAGGUUUACAAAGAAAGUCACAAGGUCCAUGAUAGCAAUCAAAUGAGAGGUUGAUAAUUAAGGUAGCUUGAACUUGGAUCUUAUAUAAUUGACUCCAAAUUGUCAUUCACAGUUUCAGCUAGUCAAGCCAACUAAUAAUCUGUGAAGCAGGCACGAAAAUUAAGUCAUCCAAAUUAACAGAAGUGGGCAGCGAACUUAUAUUAGAAUCACAUACAUCAUAAGUAGCUAACCACGUGGAAGAAACACCAGAUAAACCAUUCUUAGUGUAGAUGAGAGAUACACACUAAACGAUCAACAAUCAUGGACUGUCAUUGUAUGCUAGUAAGAGGAUUCAUACCAGUGUUCUGUAAACCACCAAUUGGCAUGCAGCGAAAUGGGACAGGCCCGAGUCCAGACUUCUGAACCCUUUCAUUAUAAUCGACAAACAAAUUAUGUGAAUACUACAGAACCGACCACCAAUUAACAAUCCAACACAGAAAGAUAUGGAAUCUAUGUAUUAUUAUUGCACAAAGUAUACAUUAAUUACAUUGGUAAGGAUCUACAUCAAUAGAUAUACUCGCUACAUAUCAUCCAUAAAACACUCGAAUUGCUUUACAGUCCAACAAUUACACAAGCGUAAGCGACAGAAGCUAAACCAGUUACCAGUGCCAGCAACAGUACUGCCCCCACAAAGUCCAUCCAGAACUAAUGUGUGGUGUCGUAAAUCUGGGCCAGAAAAGGCUUCACUAAAUGCGCAACAAUAGAGUUCUGAAAGAGGAUCACAGUACCUGUACAUCAUAUGUGGGCAACUAGGACAAACACCUUGGCCAUAAGCAGACUAACACAAUAUAUAACAUAUAUGAAAGUUGUGAGCUGACCAAAUUUUGGUCGAAGUUUACAGUCCCGACUAAAUUGAGCAGUGCAGAUAAUAUAGGAUUGGACCAUGGGACAUGGCGUAUAAUGAUUAUUACUGUUAUAGGGGGUUUCAGCUGCAGUACUGCAGCUGUUUGUGAAGCUGCACUGAACACUUGGCAAGACAAAUUUUCAAUCCAUUUAAGAUAUGUACCAUUAGACAUUUGGUAUGUUGUCAUUGAACAGACUUCUAAAGCCGUCCCAUAAUAUAAGAGCGUUUUUCACACUAGUGUAGUGUCAAAAACGCUCUUAUAUUAUGGGACGGAGGGAGUAACUGCAAAGUGCAAACAAUACGCAAUAGCUCUGCAACUGAUAUUAGUAUAAAAAUACUCAAAUGCGGUAAGCACCGGGCAUGGCUACCACAUCCUAGACUACAAACACAACACCAUAUGAUCGGAAGCGCGCAAUCCCACAAGUGCAUACUGACGACAAUUCACCAAUCCAUCCCAGCACAAUUCACCAUUCCAUCCCAGCACAAUUCACAGGGCUCGCUGCCUAGAAGUCCAUCUGCAGCCAUUUCUUGUAGUAGACACAAGUAGUUGGCGAGAUGACCCCAUCCGGUGAGCACUCGUCGAUCCUGGGACAAACCCCACAUGGAAUCCCUUCUAUCAUGCCACCCUGCGGCGCGCCACCCCGCCGAUAGCACACCCUCCCAGCUCUGACAGCGCUGAACUCCCCCUCCCCGGUGCUCCUGCACUCCUCCAGCACCCUGUCGAGCGCCAUGGUCUGCAGGAUGUCCCUGAUCUGGUCGAUAGCGUACCCUGCCCUGGGGUCUUCCCUCUCGACGCCCUUGUGGACCAUGUCAGGGGUGGCAGCGCCGAGCCUGUCAAUCUGGUCGAGGCACCUGCGGCGCACGGCCGCCACGGCGUCGGUAUCGAGCUGGCCGUUGUGAUACCAGGUUCCGCCGGUGAUCUCGGGGGAGGGCUCGAUGCGGGCGUCCAUGAAGACCUUCUUCCCGCGGUGGCGGACAUCGGUGACCUCCUUGAGGAUGCCCCGCUGGACGAGGGCGCGGGUGAGCUUGGUGAGGGUCGGGGCGGCCAGCUUCAUCGCGUAGCGGAUGUCCUGGCUCCACAUUCCCUUGUUGCCCGCCUCGUAGAUGCGCUUGUAGACCUCCCGCUCCGGCCCCGGGAGGUUGUUGAGGAUGGAGGCAGGCAGGAUCUCCGGGGCGGAGGCGGGGGCGGGGGCGGGGGCAGGGGCGGGGGCGGAGGUGGAUUUGGAGGCCGGAGAAAUGAGGGGCUUGACAUCCGGUUGGGCUGGCAUGCCCGAGGACGGUUCCAGCGGGCGCUUCCGCGGCGGCAUGGCGGGGCGACGAGGAGCGGGCGGCGGCGGCGGCGGCGGUUGGGUUUGGAGGAGAUGAAAUCGUGGGGGUUUGGAUGGGUCGCCGUGGUGAUCCCACGGUUCCUUCACUUCAUCUGGGCCUUCUAGCUUAAGAUAGAGGCCGAGUGGAAAGACUAGUCGAGAGAAUUUGUGGGCCGGGCAACUGAGAACAUACUUUGAGCUUCCGAAAAGACCAUUCUCCAAAAAAUUUAGGUAAAAUUGUUAAGCAUUUUGCCCUGCAAAAAACAAACAAACUGAAUACCAAAUAUUACAAGCGAAUUUGUUUGUUCACCAUGAAACAAAGCUGCUCCGUUUCGCAUGAAAAUUAUCAAGCAUGCUUAUGACACUAACACGAACAUCUACCAAAAAACAGAAAAGGUAAAUUUUGCUUACUUUUUUUCAAACUGUUCAUGCGGAGCAAAUGCACCUGGAAGCCAAAACGCCCUCCAGAAGUUUCUAUUUCUAAAUAUAAGAUGGCGAAGUAUGAGGUGAAAAUGCAUUUUUAGUGAAAAUCUGAAAAUUUCUAUUCUACACUGUUGGAUCGAUGGCGGACGUUCUAGAUUAAGGUGGGACUGCUAAGUAUCCACUUAAACGUAAUUAGCACAUAACCCCCUCUCUAUUAAUCAUCAGGUGAAAAAGGGCUUGGCCCUCGCUAAUUCCUGGAUCAUAUCGUCUUCACGCCUUGAGCGCCGCCGCCGUGCACCUUCCACCGGCGCAUAGCCCCUGGCCUCAGCCGGCCGCGACCAGCCCUACUCCCGUCAGAAUGGGCCUUCCAUACCUAGGGAGUGGCCCGCCGACGACUCUCCCUCUACUGGUUGUGUCUGUACCCAUGAAUUCUCUUCCACAGAUAGCGGUGGGGCCUUUGUCGUCUGCGGGUUGCCCUCCAUGGGAUGCGGCUCAUCCUCCGGCAGCCGCGACUCACUCUUCGGAGCAGCGGCGUAGCUAGGCCCCAGGCUACCAGGGAUGUGGCCUGGGGCGUAGCAGCUUGUUGCUUGGUGUCCUGUAGCAGCAGAAACACUGUUUGCUACUCCACUGCUUCGGAGCACUUGUCACCGCUGCUCCCUGCAAUUAUGUCGUCCGACAUGCCUCAGCCUCUUCGUAGUCAUGUACAGGUAAGCUAGUAGAUGGAUCAUUAACCUACUCUAAAAAGACUUAUAUUUAGGAAGAAGAAUGUUGGAGGGCCGAAAAAGCCUCGCACAUGCGGGGCGUCUAACCAGGUUGGCUUCUAUGACAGUCGUAGCUGCCCCAACAAGGAACAAGAAUCGUAAAGGAGUUGUCAUACACAAAAAUGGCUAUAUUACUUCAUAAGUCGUUUGUCCACUAUAAUUGAUCUUUUCAUGUCUACCUGCAGAUUCUUUUAUUUUGAUAUGAGGCAACCCGGUGCUUCCAUUUUGAUGUAGUACAAGAUGAAGUUCAAAACUUUAGUGUCAUCUUCACCGACCUUCAACGCUAUCUUCCUAGCUAUUGAGAGCUUGUGUGUCAUCUUAUCUGUUGAGAGUUGUGGUGUUAUGUUUGGAAACUUCCUUUUGUUUACCUUUAGAGAAAUGAAACUCUCUUUUGUAGAGAGACAUAACUAGUUAUUUUUCUUAUGAAAAAAUUGUAAGUUGUCACUGGUUUAUGUACAAUGUGUGCCCUGAACUGUCACUGAUUUUGGUUCAUCUCAGUCUGAACUAUUCUGGGAUUUUGAUUCAUCUCCAAUGCUGUUGGUGUGGAAUAAGAACUUCAUGCCUUGAAUAUUGUCUUUAUAAGAUGUACCCGUUCCACAUCUAGUACAACAGCUGGUAGUAGAUCAGCUGAACAUAGCUUUCAAUGAUACAGUACAAGGUAAUUCACAUUGGGUGACUGCAAAAGAGCUCACCAAAGAUAAUGUUAGGAGAGAAUUUUGACUUUCUGUGUUGUCAAUGAUUGAGAUACACCAAACAUUGCAAGGGAGCUCACGCUGUGGUUUUUAAAUGGUUACAGCCUCUGAAUUCGGACUACAGUACAUAAGCAAGCUUACAAGUUUCAUCAACAGAAAAAUGUAACAUUCAGAUACAAUUUCUGAAUUCAUACUACAAAGCAAGAAUUCUGCUGCAAAAUGUUGGAACCGGCUAGCCCUAGCCCUAGCCCUCUCCUCCCUUGCACUGGUCUCUCUCUCUCUCCGGCCGUGGCUCGCACCAAUGAAAACGAGGAGGAAGGAGGAAGAUGGAGCAGACAGAAGACACGGUGAGGUUUUCCCCGGCGCAACAACGCCUGUUCCCGAGCUCGUACUCGUCACCUCCACUGCCUACAACACACGGGUGCGAGGGAGUUUAUAUCUGCGUCCAUCGGCGCACCCCACCGCGCCCCCGACGCGCCCCCCUUCACGCACUCCCCCACGUCCCCGCGCUCCCGCCGCGCACGCACGCGAUCCGCGCGACCAGGUCCAGCGCCCGACGUGGUCUACACCCGCGCCCGCUGCGCCAAAUAACACACAGCAUGGCCCCGCGCGCACACGCGCUGGCUCACGCACUCACACACGCACACCUACGCCACGGACCCGACGCGUCCAACGUGCCCGGCGCGCGCCCAUACACGCACCCGGCUCGUUCGACACCUCGCCGCGGCUUAUUGCGCCAUUGUGGACACAUGGUCGAUCGCGUACCCUGCGCUGGGGUCUUCCCUCUCGACGACAUUGUGGACCAUGUCCGGGGUGGCGGCGCCGAGCCUGUCAAUCUGGUCGAGGCACCUGCGGCGCACGGCCGCCACGGUGUCGGUGUCGAGCUGGCCGUUGUGGUACCAGGUUCCGCCGGUGAUCUCGGGAGAGGGCUCCAUGCUGAAGUCCGUGAAGACCUUCUUCCCGCGGGGCCGGACUUCCGUGACCUCCUUGAGGAUACCCCGCUGGACGAGGGCGCGGGUGAGCUUGUUGAGGGUUGGGGCAGUCAGCUUCAACGCGUAGCGGAGGUCCUGGCUCGACAUGCCCUUGUUGCCCGCCGCGAAGAUGCGCUCGUAGACCUCCCGCUCCGGCCCCUUGAGGUUGUUCAGGAUGGCGGCAGGGGGCUGAACCUCCGGUGCGGAGGCGGGGUCGUCGGUGGAUUUGGAAGCCGGAGAUAUGACGGGCUUGACGUCCGGUUGGGCUGGCGUGCCCGGGGAAGGUUCCAGCGGGCGCUUGCGCGGCGGCAUGGCGGGGGCGACAAGGAGCGGGCGCCGGCGGCAGUUGGGUUUGGAGGAGAUGAAAUCGCGGGGGUUUGGCUGGGUCUCGCCGUCAUGUUUUAGGAUAGAAGAGGCCGCGUGAAAAGACUAGUCAAGAAAACUUGCGGGCCGCGCAACUGAGUAAAGUUUUUGAGCUUCCGAAAGAGCAUUUUCCAAAUUUCUUAUGCGUAAAUGUGUGAAUAAUUUUUUAUCUCAAAUAAUAAGUGCCACACAUGUGACAUGAAGCAAUCCGGUCCUGAUAUUUUUUUUACAACUAAAAUUGUCAUCCGAAAAGAAAAAUAAACCUAAAAAAACUAAAACUUGCCAUACGAAAAGGAAGCUGCCAUCCUCGCGUCACUAAACUUACCUAAAAAAUGUUAGGAGCUGCCAUGUGUUCUUGCCACACGUGUGACACUUAUCAAAGUCCUUUUUUAUUUGCAAGCUUAUGAAAGAAAAAUGGUUUCACCCGCAAAAAAAUGGUUUCAUACGUGGGUUGCCAAAAUUCUAGUGAGCUAAAACAUAAUAGGACCAUAAAAGAGUAGUGCUCUUAACUUUUAAUCACCAAAAAUGUAUUCAUUUCUUCUAAGUUUGUGGAUGCAUUUGGAACUAACGUAUUGAUGCGUUCACUUGCCAAUUUUGAAGAAGGGGUUACUUUGCAAAAUUUGGAUGUCAUAUUGUGUGUGUUCUAAUCAAAACAUCAUCAAUAUUAAUAAAUAUGAAAAUUAUAAUGAACAAAAGUUUGUGUUGUAACUGCAACUUAUUGAAUAUUUAAUGACGUUGUUCAGAUUUUGUUUGCAACUAAAAUCUCCUCAGCCUCUUAACAACUCAUAAGUUUCUCUUUUUCACUCUCAAAGAUAGCCUUGAAGCAAAGAGAGACAAACACAAGGAAUGGGUCAACAAAGGGAGGAGCUUCGCCUCUGGAACACAAUGCUCUUUGGGCCCUCACAAAGUCUAGAAAAUGGCCCACCUGCCCACGGAGCAUGGUGUCUAUUCAUAGAAAGCGAAAAUCUCACCCUCACAAAGUAACUAGCCCUAUCGCUUUUUCUUUGUGUUUGCAUAUUUGUUUUUUAUAUGAUAUUUCUUUAAUGGAAAGAGUUGUCUUUGCUCUCAAGAUGUGAAUGUCUUCUAAAAACUUAACUAACAACAUUUUCAAAAUUGGCAUGAAAUCUUAUGAUCUACAUAUGCUUGCUCGAUUUUUGUUUGAUCUAAUAUAUAACAACAUUUCUUAGGAAGUAUGCAAACUUACAUAAUUUUGUAGUUUUCUUGCCGUCGCUAUUAUUGGAGGAAAAAGGCAUAUAAAAAUUUCAGAAAAAAUGUUUGUAAAUGUCUAGAGAAAUAAAUUUGUCAUUGUUCAUUUGUUUUAAUUGGAUAUGCUUUGCAACUUCUCAAUUACCAGUUCACAGCAUAGAUGAGUUGAAAUACAAGGCGGUCCAAGCAGUGAGACGUUUUUAAAAAAUAUAUCCAAAAGAGCGUUUUUUUUCAACUAUCAAAAGUUUCCAAAAUAAUUUAGCGUGAACCAAAGCAGUACACUAGGAAUCUAUAAACAUUUGCGGAAAAAUGUUUUUUUUCUUCUGAUGAAUUUUUUUGUAGAGCUGAAGUAACAAAUAGUAUCAAUUUUUAUUUUAUUAUCCUUACUAACAAAAUUGUGUCUUCAUCCUCCAGUUUAUGGGUGCGACUAGUAUUGAAAUAAUACACUUCUGAAAUAGACCAAGUUAACCCUAAAGAGAAACUACUCUUUUUUUUCUUUUGCGGGUAAAGAGAAACUAGACUUACUCCUAGUUACGUUAAAAAAGUACAAGUGCUUAUUUGAUUCAACAGUUUCAAAGGAAAUCUGAAGGUUUAGAAUGCUUAGAGUUGUGUGUGUGCGCGCGCGCAUGUGUAUUUUAUUAUCCUUCCUAUCAAAAUUGUGCUUUUUUCCAUCAGUUUAUCGGUGCAGCUAAUAUUGAAAUAACACACUUCUACUCCCUCUGUAAUAGACUUGAAAACAUUUCAUGGGAAUUUUGCAUUCAUCUUGGACAUAUUCUUCUAUUUCAAACAAAUUUGAUGCAAAUUCAAACUUUUGGAACCCAAACGGACAUGACAUUGUAUUCCUUGAUUCCUGAGUUUGCAAGAACCCUACGAAUCAAAGUGGCUCACCAAUUUUUUACCCCUAGAUAAAGUGGCAAUCUGAUAAUCAUGUAACCACAUGUUUCUAAUAUUAACAGGAAAAUCUCGGCAACAUUACUCAACUAUAAUACAGUAAUAAAUUCUAUAGCAAAGCUGUAUACUUCGCCUCCUACUGCAUAGUGAAAGAGACAAUUUCAGUGGUACAUAUAGUGCAGAUAUGUCUGAAUGCAGAAUCUGAAUCGAAUUGAUCAAAGUUAACUCUGUGCGAUCCAAUCAACCAGUUCUGUAACAGAGGCUGGCUAGUAUAAAUAGACCAGAGAACAGCAAAAGUACAUGAUUUAAUUCACAGUAGUGAAUAAAACCUUAUGGGCUCACUCUGAUGGUUUCGAUGGCAUUAUAUGAUUUAACAAUGUACACUGAACAUUUCCACCAUUUUACAGCUGUUAGGAAUCGUCAAAUUUUACAAAUUACUGAAAUGAAACAGGUGAGGUCCUGGUUGCAUCUCCAGCGAACAUCAAGAUUAAGGUUGACUGAGUAAGAGGUGUCGUGUGUCACAGUGUCCGUCUUCUCAUUUGGCAGCCUGCUCGAUCACAGAUAUCUUCGUCCACCUUUCCUGCUCUUCGGGUGCAUUGUUUCCCUGAAGAGGUGGCAACGAGAAAGCACUGACUGUCGAGCUUUUGCUUCGGAUCUCUUUCAGAGCCCUAAGCGCCGCGACCGUGCUCUUCAUGUACAUGCUCUCCAUGAACUCAAUCUCAUCAAGCUCUGGAAUACAUCUGCUGUUAGCCAAGGAAGAACUGGGGUUCAGAGGCUGGUCCGCAGUGUUGCCAUCUUCUUUGCCCUCUUCAAUUGAUACAGAUGGUUUGUUUGAUGGCAGGAGCUGGUCAAGCAUAGCCUCACACUCCUUCACAAGCUUGUACAGGAGGUCAGUGGUGAAGAAAGGCUGAAGCAACACGUUUUGGAUGAAAGGCAGACGGAUCAGAGCCCCAGUUCUCUUGUCAUACUUCUUGAGAAUCUUCACCAGCCCUGUAAUUACAACAGAAACGUAAGCAUCAUAGACGAUGAGAUAUCAGAGGACUUCAAAUAGCUAGUCACUGAGUAGUAAAGGUCCAAAUGGCACACAGAUCACNNNNNNNNNNNNNNNNNNNNNNNNNNNNNNNNNNNNNNNNNNNNNNNNNNNNNNNNNNNNNNNNNNNNNNNNNNNNNNNNNNNNNNNNNNNNNNNNNNNNNNNNNNNNNNNNNNNNNNNNNNNNNNNNNNNNNNNNNNNNNNNNNNNNNNNNNNNNNNNNNNNNNNNNNNNNNNNNNNNNNNNNNNNNNNNNNNNNNNNNNNNNNNNNNNNNNNNNNNNNNNNNNNNNNNNNNNNNNNNNNNNNNNNNNNNNNNNNNNNNNNNNNNNNNNNNNNNNNNNNNNNNNNNNNNNNNNNAGAAGAGAGGGAUUGCUGAGUUCUGCUUUAUAAAGUCUAAUAAGCAGCAGUUUAGACUCAAUGAACUUUUAUCUUUAGUCAAAUUCUAAAAUUAAGUUAUGUCAAAUCUGCAGAAAACGACAGAGACGGGAAACAAACAUACAAAUUUAUCGGUAACUUAUCAUGCCCCCUCACUAGAAAACCUGAUCCCUCAAAGGAACAUAGCACGAAAAUUACUGUUUCAACAAAGCUAACAUGAUAGCAUCUGUAGCCAGUUCAGGGCACAUUGCAGGAGCCAAUAUGGUAUUGAGUGGGUCACAUCAUGUCCACUAAAGCCACUAUGCAGCAGAUAUAAUGCAACAAAACAAGCUACUCAUUAACCUCAAGUUGAUUAUAGCUCACAAGAAUAUGAUUUUAUAAAGGAACCUACCAGACCAACACUAGAAAAUAGAUCACGCAUGGCAGGUGAGUUAUGAGCAAUCAUAUAGCACUUCUUUGAAUUGUCGAAGAAUUUGAACAGCAAUAACAUGCAAAUUGCCAAAUUACCCACUAUUACAUAUUCCUCUGAGGUGUAACUCUAGUCAGUAGACUUUCAUACUAAAGAUGUUUGGGCGAGGGGCACUUGCGGCCAAAUUUAUGCACUUUGAUAUGAGUUUGCAUCCAGACUUUUCCAAAGCAUGCAAAAGACCAUGUAAUCAUCCAUGAAAUUUCCAUUGAUCUUCUGAAUAGUAAAGAGAGUUCACUGCUGUGAAUUGUAGGGGCAUAUGACCCUUGCUAAUUGAUUCCAUGUUCAUUAACGUGUUGACCUUGUCAUGGUGCGAAAGGAUGAGUUUAUUGGUAACAAAGAGUACAGAGGAAAAAGACUUUACCCGCAACAAUUUGCCAAGCCAAAAGAAAGAAACAGGCAAACCGAUAAAACCCCUCAACUUAACAAGAUCAUAUGUUCACAAUUAAGCUUUAGUACUACUAUAUACUAACAUAUCCUCAUCCAGGUUAGCAAAUCUGAUCCCAAGAGAAAACAACAACCAUUAAAACUGACACUUAAAUCGUUUUAGAGAGUAUGAUUUAUUAGCAACCCGACUGAUAACAAGAGCAGCAUUUUUUCACACUCGAAGCAACAAUAUUGACAAAGAGGAAACAAGAUUACUCAACUGUAAAGCGAGCAAAUGAAGACCUAGUUUGCACAAGCACUAUAUAUGCUGAUUGCAGUACAGUCUGGAAAGGAAACUGAUCUAGUGCGUAAUAGCACGUCAUCAUGACAUUGUGCGAGUAUGUGAAAAACAAAACAUAUUUUUAGUGAGAAUAGCAUAACACCAUUUUGAGUGACAAUAAGUUCAAUGCAUCAUGUGAAUUUACAAGCCAUAUUACAUCGUGAGAUGCGAUAUCAGGCUACUGAAAUGAACAACUUAUCUUCUACCAUUUGUUUUUAUAUUUAUACAUCUAGAUCUCUAAUCAAAUAUUUAACUGAUUUGUACACAAAGCCAGACAAAAUUAUGCCUAGACCUAAAGACGUAGAACCUAUUAGGGUCGUUUCAAAUCACAGGAGAAAGAAACAUAGUGUGCUCCAAACUGAUAAAAGAUAUCUACGCUUGUACGAUAAAUUGCUCAUUUCUCGCAAGAAAUCGAACUGUUGAUAUAUCGUGCUGACGCAAUUUCUCCCUGACCAUCUAUAUAUUUGUCAACGUCCCGG